RNAcentral lists this long non-coding RNA (74592 nucleotides) under Triticum aestivum (bread wheat). Its description in RNAcentral is "long non-coding RNA (TAES_LNC028189)". The record is from RNAcentral. Lineage: Eukaryota; Viridiplantae; Streptophyta; Magnoliopsida; Poales; Poaceae.
GGCGCCUGCCUCAGCAGCAGCAACUGCGCCGGCGUCUGCCACACCGAGAGCUUCCCCGGCGGCGAGUGCCACACGCAGCACUUCGAGCGCAAGUGCUUCUGCAAGAGGGUCUGCUAGCCCGCCUGCUCGCCCCGGCCGCCCUGCCGGCCAGCGCCGAGACGUCCGAUCAUCCGUGCCGUGCCUCCACGUUCGUCAGUAGUAGUAUUUCUGUUCCGUGACGUUAGAUAGUUCAUCCGUGCCGUUAGCUACUUUUGUUCUGUUCGUCCGUGUGUCCCUCUUAGUAUAGAAUAGAACUAUAAUAAAGUAGAAAACCAAUCGGGGUCUCGGUUGUUUAGUUCGCUGUACGCCUGUUUGUGCCUGAUUUGUGUGUGGUGAUGUACUAAAUAUGGUCGUUAUUUCAGCAUGCAUGGACAUGUGCAAUGCAUCCCCCUCUCUCUCUAUGUGUAAAUAUGAUCGUGUUCAAAGAGAAAUGCUAUUAUUGUGACUACUACUCCCACCGUUCCUAAAUAUAAAACAUUUUAGAGAUUUCAACAUAGACUGCAUACGAAGCAAAAUGAGUGAAUGUACAUUCUAAGAUAUGUGUAUAUACAUCCGUAUGUAGUCUGUAUUGAAAUAUCUAAAUGGGCUUAUAUAUUUAGAAAUGGAGAUAGUAUAAGCGACGAGACAUUUUACGAAGCUGCCUGGCCAUUUCAUUUCUCUACAUGGACUGACGAAGAACUAUAUGUUGAGCAUUGACUUGUCAAAAAGAAACCAAGUUUUCUUUUUGCGCAAGUUUAACAUAACCCCUGCAAAAAAGAAAAAAAAGGAGCAUUAACAUGAGUAUGAAUCUCUUUUUUACUCAUGAACUAUCUUAUGCGAAUUUUUAUGUGCAUUGGGAUUUCAUUAAACCUGGUCUACAAAGCAUAUUUUUUCUACUUUUAAUAAAUAUUAAAUUGAACAUGAACAUAAAAAAACAUGCAUAGACCAACAUUUCCUUGGAAGAACAAUCUGGGUUGCAGAAGCCUCCAGAGUCUAACCGUAUGGAGAUAUUUUCGUAAAGCUCUCUGGAUACUCCUACAAGUAAUAAGGAAGUGUCAGUGACUUAGCGUGGGGUCUGGGGGCAAUAGGAGGAUGGAUAUACAUCCAUCCAAUCACACGAUAAGCAUAGACAAUGUAAGAUGUUUAGAGAGUUGUUCGAAUAAAUAAAUAAUUUUCUCUUAAACAUCAAUGCUUUUUUGAGGUGACUAAGUAGGCGUCUAUGCUAUACAGGUAAGUACUGGUGCUACAUAAAAAAUUGAUUCACUUUUACAAGCACCACUCUAAAAACUUUGUGUUGCACACGGUUUAACACGGACCACAAGGUAGGCAGCGCGAUAUACUCACAACUAGGACAAACUGUUUCGCGUGUCCGACAUCUUCGUCGGCCGCGAGCCCCGUAAAAUUUUGCAUGAAUAUAAAUAAAAAUUGUUUUGUUCCUUUGAUGUUAGAACAUGACUUUUAUUUUCUCUCUGAGAAUUAUCACAGUUACUUAUGUGAUAAAAGAAACAAAAAGUCUAUUAUAUUUAGCCGUGAAACAUGCACAUAUUAUUUAAAAGUCAUAUAGUUUAGGUAUCAAUGCCUGUUCUGUCCAUCUGCAUUAAUCACUAAUAGACGAAAACCCUUACAUGCAUGACCGGUCAAUCAAUUGGAAUUCUUUGUGCUUGUUGCCAAUCAUGCAAUGAUGGACUUCUUGUAACUAUUGAAGAUAACCUUUCCCUUAUCAUGAGAAACUAGGAAAAUGGUACACCAAGCGGAUUAUGACAUUCAUUUUAAUUGCAUUUCCUUCUAUAUUUUCUCAAAAUAUUAGGUCCGUACACGAUCAUUUUCCAAUCAGAAUUUCUUCUACUACACAUUGUGAGGAGUUUCCAAAUUACAAUUUCAAAUAUUGAAUCUAAUUUAGUGGCAUUUGAUUACAGAAUGCUACAUGGACUACAUAGUUUAUGAGAGGGCUUUCAGGAUACUAUGUUGUUUAAUUAGAACAUGAUCUGGCACCAUUUGAUCAGAGGAAGAAACUGGAAAAUGAAGCCGCUAGUAACUCUUCAUGGCCUUUAUUUGAAGUAAGAUAUCAUCCUUGUUGCUGCUUUCUUGCACGCUACAACUCACAUCCAUUCCUUUGUUUCUAAAUAAGACCUUCUACAAUACCUUAGCAAUUCAUUUAUCUGGUAUCGUCUUUGGUCUGUAGCAAGCGCUGCUCAGAGAGUUCCUGAUCUUGGUCAGCUAAGUAACGUUGGGAGGGGACGGUUUUCCUUUAAAGCUUGUUUGCAUGGGUUCUUUUCAUGCGGUUUUAUUUGGGAAUCGGCUAGUCGGCCAUUUUAGAGUUUUUCUCCAGGUUUUGCCUUUUACUCCUUUUUAGUAUCCGUUCCUUUAAAUCCAUCUCCAUCUCACAUCUCCAUCCAUACUAAUCCCUUCUCUAGUUCUUGUAGUAUUGCAAUGUGAUCCUUCUUCUCUACUUCUGUCUUCCAUUUUGUUUCUCUCUCCCUCUCGAUCUUAGGGCUUCCAGGUUAGUAGCAUUGAAGAACACACUUCAUUGCCUCGCUGGAGCAGGUUGGCUUCACAACAUGAAGCUCAUGGUUGUCGAGAACGUGCAACUCCGCUCUUCCACACCCUCCUACUGUCAACACAAAUCCAUUUUGGUCCUUUUCAAACUCCAUUAUCUGCUCUGCUUACGUGUGAGGUUGAGGAUGGCAGCUCCAUGAUUAAAGUAGUAUUAUGGCAAAUAUAACAACAUGCAUUAGGUGCAUUGGUCCUGCAUUGUUGACUAAGCGGAGUUAUGGUCUCAUUUGUGUUGAGCAGCUGGCCAACGAUACCCUUCAUCACAAGGAGUGACUGGAAAAUGUUGGCAACCAUUCAUUUCAGCAGGUAGCAUACAUCAGGCUCGUUUUUCCUUUUUAGGACCCAGCACUAUAUAUUCAUUGCAUACAGCAGGCCUGUGAGUGUUGCCUCGGACCUUGAUGGACGCUCCAUGGCGUGAUGCACUAUAUUCAUUGCCACCAACCAGUUUUGAUGGAUUCCAGCUAUAAUCUGUUCGGCCUGCCUGACGAGCAACAUGCAUAGUUUUAAACUAGCACAUAUGCUCGUGCGUUGCAACGACAAUGUACUACUUGACAUGUUCACCAAAAAAUUCAACAUCACGGCACGACAACAUUCAGGCGAUGCAUCCCGGCGGCAGCAAAGAGGCGGAGGCCAAGGUUUAGAACACAUAUAUACCAGACUCACAUUAAGAAUCAUAUAUACGAUACUUUGUGUUAUGAUUUUUGUAUGACAAGUCCGAUCAUAUUAUCCAUAAUAUAAUCAAAAUGCAGCAGAACCAUUAGAUUAUUUAAGGGCCGUACUCGCUCCGUUUUGCAUGCUUCACUGGGCAUUAAUUCCUUCACUCCCCACAGGUUUCUUCUUCUUAAUAAUUAUUCCCUUUAUUUUUAUAUACAAGGCCAUAAACUCAAAUUACAGGUAUCAAUAUAAAAUUUAAUGUCUGCUCUGAAAGUUAGCUUUUCUUUUCGUUUACUGUGAUCAUUAAUACCCCACUUGCAUGCAAGAAAACCGAGUAGAGGAAGUAGCUGAUUGUUAUUAUGACUGCAUGCAUGCAACUAUUAAACAUGUUGCUAGUACGAGAAAAUAUCAUUAAUUUUACCUUGAUUACUGUUGGUGGCCUUGUAUAGAUGCAGAUAUCGGGGAUUUCAAUCUCUUUUUCCAAUGCAUCAAAUUGAUCAUGGGCUUUGAGGCUUAAAGCAAAAUCAAUGUGUCGGUUCUACAAAAUAGGAAAGUAAAUUGAGUAUAAGAAAAAAAAUGUUCAAUAUACUCUUUUCAUAGCACAUACUUUAGGGACCCACUAGCUAUCCUUUUUUUCCUCACCAUGCAUUUUCCCCACUGAAACAUCCCGCUGCUCUUGUUUUUAUCUACGACAUGGCCCUUAUAGCGCAGAAGAUUCCUCUAGACUCAGUGCUUCAACAAGAACGAUGGUAAUACUUUUUAUCUUAGCAUGGCAUGAGCAAUGUUGGUCGACAUUGGGUGCUAAGGUUUCUUAGCACACACUCAUACUCGUGUUAAACAUUGGGGAAUGUGGUGCUAAGAUAAAAAGUAAAAGAGUCGGUUUUAGUUGAGGCACCACGUCUAAAGGCAUCUUUGACCCCUAUUGGGGCCAAUCUCAUAGCCAAAAUACAAGAAGAGAGGUAUGAAGAGUGCAUAGUAGAGGCAGCCCGCCUGAGGUUGAUCCAUGGAAUUUGCUUGGGUGUCUCACCCGGCAUAUUUUCCCUUGCAUGUACCCCACACGUCUACGACUACAUGGAGGACGACGUACCCGCCACUCUCAAGCUAGAUUGCUUCGAGAGUUCCUCAAAAUAUAUUGCGCGUGGAGGCUGUAGAUCUUGUUAGAGGCAUGCAUAGUUGGGUAUGAGUUGUGGUGCGCGUGCGUGAGUGUUGCGUGUGUGUUUUGCAUUUCAUCAGAUUCUACAAUUGUGUUCACAUGUUUUGACUAUUUCACUUGCCCAUAUAUAGCAAUGCCACUACCAAUAAUUAUCAUUGUGGUAAAUUAUUUGGAUUGCAGAGUGGUGUCACCUAAUGGGUUUAUUUCUUGAUUUGGUCAAAUUCCGCUCAUCGUUAUCUUUAUCUUUACCUAAUAAUAAAAGGGUGAUCGCUUCUUUCUCCUAAAUUUUCGUCCAUACAUCCGAUUUUUCGUCCUAGUCAGACUCGAUGAAGUCUCUCGAUCUUUUAAAUCCACGUUCUGUUCUUUCAAGCCCACUCGAAGGUGAACAGCCCACCAAUUUUUUCGGCCUACCCAGCCCAAUAGUGCAACAAAAAGUAGUGCGCAGAAUCGAACUUGCAAUCUCGUGCCCAACAAAUCAUGAUUCGACCAACUAAGCUAGCUCCCAUUGUGCUACAAUUGGAGGUUCAUAUAGAUUUUAAAUAGUCCCACAUCGCUCCCUUCAAUCCAAACUUCGUAAUUUAAAAAUAUCUUCGAGUUUCCUGGGUAUCAAGGAGCAGUUUCGGGAAUCAAUAAGGAAGGAAAUAAUAAGUUGUCCUGAUAAGAAAGUAAAAGAGAGGAAAAUUGAUGACCCACAAGUAUAGGGGAUCUAUCAUAGUCCUUUUGAUAAGUAAGAAUGUCGAACCCAACGAGGAGCAGAAGGAAAUGAUAAGCGGUUUUCACUAAGGUAUUCUCUGCAAGCACUGAAAUUAUCGGUAACAGAUAGUUUUGUGAUAAGGUAAUUGGUAACGAGUAGCAAGUAAUAAAAGUAAAUAAAGUGCAGCAAGAUGGCCCAAUCCUUUUUGUAGCAAAGGACAAGCCUGGACAAACUCUUAUAUGAAGGAAAGCGCUCCCGAGGACACAUGAGAAUUAUCGUCAAGCUAGUUUUCAUCACGUUCAUAUGAUUCGCGUUCGGUACUUUGAUAAUUUGAUAUGUGGGUGGACCGGUGCUUGGGUACUGUCCUUAAUUGGCAAACAUCCCACUUAUGAUUAACCCCCAUUGCAAGCAUCCGCAACUACAACCAAAGUAUUAAGGUAAACCUAACCAUAGCAUGAAACAUAUGGAUCCAAAUCGGCCCCUUACGAAGCAACGCAUAAACUAGGGUUUAAACUUCUGUCCGUCUAGCAACCCAUCAUCUACCUAUUACUUCACAAUGCCUCCCUCUAGUACCAAACAAUGGUGAAGUGUCAUGUAGUCGACGUUCACAUGACACCACUAGAGGGAUAACAACAUACAUCUCAUCAAAAUACCGAACGAAUAACAGAUUCACAUGACUACUAAUAGCAAGACUUCUCCCAUGUCCUCAGGAACAAACGUAUAUUUAUAUGUGAACCUCUCUUUCUUUAUUACUUCCUAUUAAUUGCAACGAUGGCCAAAACUAUGUUUGUCAACUCUCAACAACUUUUAUUCAUCAUACUCUUUAUAUGUGAGCUCAUUACUCUCCAUAAGAUCCAUAAGAUCUCUUUAUUUCUUUUUAUUUCUUCUCUUUUAUUUUAUUUAAUUCCCUCAAGAUCAUAUCAAAAUAAUAAAGCCCUUAACUCAACACUAAUCUUUAUUAUAUAGCUCACGGACUCGAUUAUAUAGAGGGAUCAUAAAGCAGAACUCACAACUAGAUCAUACUAAAACUUUAUUCUACUAGAUCAAGAUAUUACCAAAAGGAUCGAACUAAGAAAAACGGUAAAGAUAAAGUGAUGGUGAUACGAUACCAGGGCACUCCCCCAAGCUUGGCAGUUGCCAAGGGGAGUGCCCAUACCCGUGUGAUUAUGUCUCCUUCUUCGGGGGUGGUGAUGUGAUGUUCUUGGCGAUGAUGCCCCUCAGGAUACGAUUCUCUUCCUCGAUCUUGUCGACUUGCUGCUUGAGGCUCAUUAUUUCCUUACGGAGCUUGCCAGUGACGGCUAAAGCUCCUUUCACCCAAGGAUGUUGCAUAGCUGCGGGAGAACAAGUAACACUCUUUUUCAUAUUUUCAUAAGAAAGAAAUCUAACAUUGGAAGGGAUGACCGAGUUUGGAAUAGCCGAGCUCUGUAGUUCCCCCAUCGUGAAUCCUGCCCGGAAACGAGAAGUAACUUCUUGGUCUUCCUCCAUGGCAUCUAUCCUUUUCAAGGCAGCUUCCAUCUCUUCCCCCGUUGAGGGCCCAAAGUGAUAGGCAUCGCUGUUUGCCCCUAGACCUGGUGUUUGAUGAGACACCCGACUCUCCCCGACUUACUCUUGAGAAGACAUCUUGCUCUAAAUCUGCAGCAGAAACAGCUAAAACAAAGACAAGAGAUAUUUGCGCGAUACGGUGGUCAAAACCUUCGAGAGAUUAUAUAAUGAAUUUUUACCGACCAAAAAGAGUAUCGUGCAAGAAAACGGAGUCCAGAGAGCGCACGAGGUGCCCUCAAGGCAGGGGGCAUGCCCAGGGGGUAGGGCACGCCUCCCACCCUCGUGGAAGCCUCGUGUCCUUCCCGGACUGCUUCUUAUUUUCCUAUUUUUCUAAAUAUUCCAAAACAAAGAAAUAUUGCCACUAGAACUGUUUUGGAGUCGGUUUACUUACUGUACCACGUACCUAUUCCUUUUCGGAGUCUGAAACAUUUCAGAAAGUGUCCCUUAUGUAUUCCUCCGGGGUUACGGUUUCAAUAACAUUGGUUUCAACAUUUAUAGGAUUACCUGAGAUAUAGUGUUUAAUUCUUUGACCGUUCACCACCUUUGGAUUUGUGCCUUCGAAGUUGUUGAUUUUUAUGGCACCAGAACGAUAGACCUCCUCGAUAACGUAAGGACCUUCCCAUUUAGAGAGAAGUUUUCCUACAAAAAAAUCUUAAACGAGAGUUGUAUAGAAAUACAUAAUCACCUACAUUAAACUCACGCUUUUGUAUUCUUUUGUCAUGCCAUCUUUUAACUUUUUCUUUAAACAGUUUGGCAUUCUCAUAGGCUUGGGUUCUCCAUUCAUGCAGUGAGCUAAUGUCAAAUAACCUCUUCUCACCGGCAAGUUUGAAAUCAUAAUUGAGCUCUUUAAUAUCAUAGUAUGCCUUAUGUUCUAGUUCGAGAGGUAAGUGACAUGCUUUUCCAUAAACCAUUUUAUACGGAGACAUACCCAUAGGAUUUUUAUAUGCAGUUCUAUAGGCUCAUAAUGCAUCAUCAAGUUUCUUGGACCAAUUCUUUCUAGAUCUAUUAACAGUCUUUUGCAAAAUUAAUUUGAGCUCUCUGUUACUCAAUUUUACUUGACCACUAGACUGUGGGUGAUAAGGAGAUGCAAUUCUAUGAUUAACAUCAUACUUAGCAAGCAUUUUACGAAAAGCACCAUGAAUAAAAUGUGAACCACCACCAGUCAUUAAAUAUCUAGGGACUCCAAACCUUGAAAAAAUAACUUCUUUAAGCAUCUUAAUAGAGGUGUUAUGAUCAACACUACUAGUUGGAAUAGCUUCUACCCACGUAGUAACGUAAUCAACAGCAACUAAAAUAUAUGUAUACCCAUUAGAGGAAGGAAAUGGUCCCAUAUAAUCAAAGCCCCAAACGUCAAAUGGUUUAAUAACAAGUGAAUAAUUCAUAGGAAUUUCUUGACGUCUACUAAUAUUACCAAUUCUUUGACAUUCAUCACAAGACAAGACAAACUUACGGGCAUCCUUGAAGAGAUUAGGCCAAUAAAAACCGGAUUGCACCUUAUGUGCAGUUCUAUCUCCAGCAUGGUGUCCUCCAUAAGCCUCAGAGUGACACUUGCGUAGGAUCUAUUCUACUCCUUCUUUAUAAAGAUGUGGGUCAUCCCAAAAGUAAUGUCUCAAAUCAUAGAAGAACCUUUUCUUUUGCUGGUAUGUGAAACUAGGUGGUAUAAAUUUAGCAACAAUAUAAUUAGCAUAAUCAGCAUACCAUGGAGCAGUUCGAGAAGCAUUUAUGACAUUUAAUUGUUCAUCAGGAAAGCUAUCAUCAAUAGGUAGUGGGUCAUCAAGAACAUUCUCUAACCUAGGCAAGUUGUCUGCAAUGGGGUUCUCAGCUCCCUUUCUAUCAAUAAUAUGCAAAUCAAAUUCUUGUAGCAAGAGAACCCAUCUAAUAAGUCUAGGUUUAGCAUCUUUCUUUUCCAUAAGGUAUUUAAUAGCAGCAUGAUCAGUGUGAAUAUUUACUUUAGAAUCAACAAUAUAAGGUCUGAAUUUAUCACAAGCAAAAACAACUGCUAAAAAUUCUUUUUCAGUGGUAGCAUAAUUUCUCUGGGCAUUGUCUAGAGUUUUACUAGCAUAUUGAAUAACAUUUAAUUUCUUAUCAACUCUUUGCCCUAGAACAGAACCUACAGCAUAAUCACUAGGUUAGUCAGAAAUCAAUGCUUCCUUAAGUAUUUCAAAUGCUUCUACACAAUCAUCAUCAAAGACAAAAGGAAUAUCUUUUUGUAAUAGGUUAGUCAGAGGCCGAUAAAUUUUUGAGAAGUCCUUAAUGAACCUCCUAUAAAAACCGGCAUGACCUAGAAAACUUCUUAUACCUUUGAUGUCCUUGGGACACGACAUCUUCUCAAUAGCAUCAACUUUAGCUUUGUCAACUUCAAUACCUCUUUCAUAAAUUUUAUGCCCCAAGACAAUACCUUCAUUAACCAUAAUGUGGCACUUCUCCCAAUUCAAGACAAGAUUAGUUUCUUCACAUCUCUGCAAACUCAAUCAAGGUUGCUCAAGCAAUCAUCAAAAGAGGAUCCAUAAACAGAGAAAUCGUCCAUGAAAACCUCACAUAUCUUUUCACAAAAGUCAGAAAAUAUAGCCAUCAUGCAUCUUUGAAAGGUAGCAGGUGCAUUACAUAAACCAAAAGGCAUACGUCUAUAAGAAAAAGUACCGAAAGGGCAAGUAAAAGUGGUCUUUGCUUGAUCAUCAGCUGACACAGGUAUUUGAGAAAAACCGGAGUAACCAUCUAGAAAGCAAAAAUGUGUAUGUUUGGAUAACCUUUCUAGAAUUUGAUCAAUAAAAGGUAAGGGGUAAUGAUCUUUUUAGUAGCCUUAUUUAAUUUGUAAAAAUCAAUUUCCAUCCUAUAACCUCUAAUAAUUCUUUGCGAAAUCAAUUCAUCUUUAUCAUUAGAAACAACAGUAAUACCUCCCUUCUUAGGGACACAAUGGACAUGACUUACCCACUGACUAUCAGCAACGGGAUAAAUUACACCUGCCUCAAGGAGCUUUAAUGUUUCCUUUUUUACCACUUCUUUCAUCUUAGGAUUCAGCCAUCGUUGGUGAUCAAUAACUGGUUUGGCGUCUUUCUCCAAAUUUAUUUUGUGUUGACAUAGAGUGAGACUAAUGCCCUUAAGAUCAUCAAGAGUAUAUUGAUAACCCACAAGUAUAGGGGAACGCAAUAGUUUUCAAGGGUAGAGUAUUCAACGCAAAUUUAUUGAUUCGACACAAGGGGAGCCAAAGAAUAUUCUCAAGUAUUAGCAGCUGAGUUGUCAAUUCAACCACACCUGGAAACUUAAUAUCUGCAGCAAAGUAUUUAGUAGCAAAGUAAUAUGAUAGUAGUGGUAACGGUAGCAAAAGGUAACUGUAGCAAAAGUAAUGUUUUUGGUAUUUUGUAGUGAUGAUAGCAAUAGCAACGGAAAAGUAAAUAAGCGAAGAACAAUAUAUAGAAAGCUCGUAGACAAUGAAUCGUUGAUGGAGAAUUAUGCCGGAUGCGGUUCAUCAUGUAACAAUCCUAACAUAGGGUGACACAGAACUAGCUCCAGUUCAUCAAUGUAAUGUAGACAUGUAUUCCGAAUAUAGUCAUACGUUCUUAUGGAAAAGAACUUGCAUGACAUCUUUUGCCCUAUCCUCCCGUGCCAGUGGGGUCCUAAUCGAAACUAAGGGAUAUUAUGGCCUCCUUUUAAUAGAGUACCGGAACAAAGCAUAACACAUAAUGAAUACAUAAACUCCUCAAACUAUGGUCAUCACCGGUAAGUAUCCCAAUUAUUGUCACUUUGGGGUUAACGGAUCAUAGCACAUAAUAGGUGACUAUAGACUUGCAAGAUAGGAUCAAGAACUCUCAUAUAUUGAUGAAAACAUAAUAGGUUCAGAUCUGAAAUCAUGGCGCUCAGGCCCUAGUGACAAGCAUUAAGCAUAGCAAAGUUAAAGCAACAUCAAUCUCAGAACAUAAUGGAUACUAGGGAUCAAACUCUAACAAAACUAACUCGAUUACAUGAUAGAUCUCAUCCAACCCAUCACCGUCCAGCAAGCCUACGAUGGAAUUACUCACGCACGGCGGUGAGCAUCAUGAAAUUGGUGAUGGAGGAUGGUUGAUGAUGACGAUGGCGACGGAUUCCCCUCUCCGGAGCCCCAAACGGACUCCAGAUCAGCCCUCCCGAGAGGUUUUAGGGCUUGGCGGCGGCUCCGUAACGUAAAACACGAUGAAUUAUUCUCUAUGAUUUUUUUUCUCCCCAAAACCAAAUAUAUAGAGUUGGAGUUGAGGUCGGAGGAGCUCCAGGGGGCCCACGAGGUAGGGGGGCGCGCCCUAGGGGGGCAGGCGCGCCCCCACCCUCGCGGACAGGUGGUGAGCCACUGGCCUUCCUCUUUUGCAAGGAUUUUUUAUUAUUUCCGAAUAGAUGUUCUGUGAAGUUUCAGGUCAUUCCGAGAACUUUUGUUUCUGCACAUAAAUAACACUAUAGCAAUUCUGCUAAAAACAGCAUCAGUCCGGUUUAGUUCCAUUCAAAUCAUGCAAGUUAGAGUCCAAAACAAGGGCAAAAGUGUUUGGAAAAGUAGAUACGACGGAGACGUAUCAACUCCCCCAAGCUUAAAUCGUUGCUUUUCCUCAAGCAGUUCAUUUGAUAAACUGAAAGUGAUAAAGAAAAACUUUUACAAACUCUGUUUGCUCUUGUUGUUGUAAAUAUCUAAAGCCAGCAUUCAAGUUUUCAGCAAAGAUUAUGAACUAACCAUAUUCACGAUAAACCUUAGGUCUCAAGUUUACUCAUAUAAAUGGCAUAAUCAACUAGCGAGCAAUAAUAAUAAAUAUCGGAUGACAACACUUUCUCAAAACAAUCAUAAUAUGAUAUAACAAGAUGGUAUCUCGCUAGCCCUUGAUAUGUCUCCAACGUAUCUAUAAUUUUUGAUUGCUCCAUGCUAUAUUAUCUACUGUUUUGGGCAAUAUUGGGCUUUAUUAUCCACUUUUAUAUUACUUUUGGGACUAACCUAUUAACCGGAGGCCCAGCCCAGAUUUGCUGUUUUAUGCCUAUUUCAGUGUUUCGAAGAAAAGGAAUAUCAGACGGAGUCGAAACGGGACGAAAUCAACUAGAGAAGUUAUUUUUGGAACAAAAGCCACCCGAUGGACUUGGACCCCACGUCAAGGAAGGAAGGAGGAGCUCACGAGGGUAGGGGGCGCGCCCACCCCCUGGGGCGCGCCCCCUGCCUCGUGGGGCCCUUGUGGCUCCCCUGACGUGCUUCUUCUGCCUAUAUAACUCCACGUACCCUAAAACUUCCAGAACGCAAAAUAGAUCGGGAGUUCCGCCACCAGAAGCCUCCGUAGCCACCAAAAACCAAUCUUGACCCGUUCCGGCACCCUGACGGAGGGGGCAAUCCUUCUUCGGUGACCAUCUUCAUCAUCUCGGUGCUCUCCAUGAUGAGGAGGGACUAGUUCUCCCUCAGGGCUGAGGGUAUGUACCAGUAGCUAUGUGUUUGAUCUCUCUCUCUCUCUCUCUCUCGUGUUCUUGAGAUGAUACGAUCUUAAUGUAUCGCGAGCUUUGCUAUUAUAUUUGGAUCCUAUGAUGUUUCUUUCCCCCUCUUCUCUCUUGUAAUGAAUUGAGUUUCCCCUUUGAAGUAAUCGUAUCGGAUUGAGUCUUUAAAGAUUUGAGAACACUUGAUGUAUGUCUUGCCGUGGAUAUCUGUGGUGACAAUGGGAUACCACGUGCCACUUGAUGUAUGUUUUGGUGACCAACUUGCGGGUUCCGCCCAUGAACCUAUGCAUAGGGGUUGGCACACGUUUUCGUCGUGAUUCUCCGGUAGAAACUUUGGGGCACUCUUUGAGGUUCUAUGUGUUGGUUGAAUAGAUGAAUUGAGAUUGUGUGAUGCAUAUCGUAUAAUCAUGCCCACAGAUACUUGAGGUGACAUUGGAGUAUCUAGGUGACAUUAGGGUUUUGAUUGAUUUGUGUCUUAAGGUGUUAUUCCAGUACAAACUCUAGGGCUGUUUGUGACACUUAUAGGAAUAGCCCAACAGAUUGAUUGGAAAGAAUAACUUUGAGGUGGUUUCGUACCCUGGCAUAAUCUCUUCGUUCGUUAUCCGCUAUUAGUGACUUUGGAGUGACUCUUUGUUGCAUGUUGAUGGAUAGUUUUAUGAUCCAAUUAUGUUAUCAUUGUUGAGGGAACUUACACUAGCGAAAGUAUGAACCCUAGGCCUUAUUUCCACGCAUUGCAAUACCGUUUACGCUCUCUUUUAUCAUUCAUUACCUUGCUGUUUUUAUAAUUUCAGAUUACAAAUACUUUUAUCUACCAUCCAUAUACCACUUGUAUCACCAUCUCUUCACCGAACUAGUGCACCUAUACAAUUUACCAUUGUAUUGGGUGUGUUGGGGACACAAGAGACUCUUUGUUAUUUGGUUGCAGGGUUGCUUGAGAGAGACCAUCUUCAUCCUACGCCUCCUACGGAUUGAUAAACCUUAGGUCAUCCACUUGAGGGAAAUUUGCUACUGUCCUACAAAUCUCUGCACUUGGAGGCCCAACAACGUCUACAAGAAGAAGGUUGUGUAGUAAACAUCAGCCCUUUCUGAGACCGCAAAACAUAAAUGCAGAGCACCUUUAAAGAUCAAGGACUGACUAGACAUUGUAAUUCAUGGUAAAAGGGAUCCAGUCAAGUCAUACUCAAUGUAAACUAAUAGUAAUGAAUGCAAAUGACAGCGGUGCUCUCCAACUAGUGCUUUUUAAUAAGAGGAUGAUGACUCAAUAUAAAAGUAAAUAGAUAGGCCCUUCGCAGAGGGAAGCAAGGAUUUGUAGAGGUGCCAGAGCUCAGUUUUGAAUUAGAGAUGAAUAAUAUUUUGAGCGGUAUACUUUCAUUGUCAACAUAACAACCAAGGGAUGGCAAUAUCUUCCAUGCUACACACAUUAUAGGCGGUUCCCAAACAGAAUGGUAAAGUUUAUACCCCCCCUCCACCAACAAGCAUCGAUCCAUGGCUUGCUCGAAACAACGAGUGCCUCCAACUAACAAGAGUCCUAGGGGGAGUUUUGUUUGCAAUUAUUUUGAUUUAGUUUGCAUAAAGCAUGGGACUAGGCAUCCCGGUGACCAGCCAUUUUCUCAUAAGUGAGGAGCGGAGUCCACUCCUCUUGAGAAUAACCCGCCUAACAUGGAAGAUACGGACAGCCCUAGUUGAUACAUGAGCUAUUCGACCAUACAAAACAUGAUAUUUAUUUGUAGGUUUAGAGUUUGGCACAUACAAAUUUACUUGGAACGGCAGGUAGAUACCGUAUAUAGGUAGGUGUGGUGGACUCAUAUGGAAUAACUUUGGGGUUUAUGGAGUUGGAUGCACAAGCAGUAUUCCCGCUGAGUACAGGUGAAGGCUAGCAAAAGACUAGGAAGCGACCAGCUAGAGAGCGACAACAAUCAUGAACAUGCAUUAAAAUUAAUCAACACCAAAUGCAAGCAUGAGUAGGAUAUAAUCCACCAUGAACAUAAAUAUCGUGAAGGCUAUGUUGAUUUUGUUUCAACUACAUGCGUGAACAUGUGCCAAGUCAAGUCACUUAAAUCAUUCGGAGGAGGAUACCACCCUAUCAUACCACAUCACAACCAUUUUAAUAGCAUGUUGGCACGCAAGGUAAACCAUUAUAAGCUCCUAGCUAAUCAAGCAUGGCACAAGAAACUAUGAUCUCUAGUUGUCAUUGCAAACAUGUCUAUUCAUAAUAGGCUGAAUUAGGAACGAUGAACUAAUCAUAUUUACAAAAACAAGAGAGGUCGAGUUCAUACCAGCUUUUCUCAUCUCAAUAAGUUCAUCAUAUAAUCAUUAUUAUUGCCUUUCACUUACACGACCGAACGAUGUGGAUAAUAAUAAUAGUGCACGUGCAUUGGACUAAGCUGGAAUCUGUAAGCAUUCAAUAAACAGGAGAAGCCAAGGCAAUAUGGGCUCUUUUGUCAGAUCAACAAUAAUGCAUAUAAGAUCUACUUCAACAAUUUAAUUACGGUCUUCUCCUAUCGACCCCCAAAGAAAAGAAAAGAAAUAAAACUAUUUACACGGGAAAGCUCCCAACAAGCAAAAGAAGAACAGGAAAUCUUUUUGGUUUUUCUUUUUAAUUACUACUACAAGCAUGGAAAGUAAACUAAUUAAAAGCUACAACUAAUUUUUUCUGGUUUUUCUUAAAGUUUAUCAAACACACAAGAAGAGAGCAUAAAAAGGAAGUAAACUAGCAUGGAUGAUACAAUGAAAAAGUAUGAGCACCGACAUCUAGCAAUGAGUGUGUGAACAUGAAUAUAAUGUUGGUGAGGAAUACGUACUCCCCCAAGCUUAGGCUUUUGGCCUAAGUUGGUCUAUGGCCACGGCUGGCCUGGAGGAUAUCCAUAAUAAUAAUUGGGGUCGUACUAAGAUGCACCAGCUAUCGCCUCCUGAGCUGCAGCGUGGUGACGAGCGGCCUCCACCCUCCUCUCGUACUCAUCUGCCUCCUCUCUGGUAAUAACAUAUCUUCUUUUUGCCUGAUAAUCAAAGAAGGCAGGAGCAGGGAGAGUAAUACGGACAUCACAGCGUCUGUCAAAGAUUAAGCGAUACUGGAGAGGUGAUUCAUUCCUCUCGACAAACUGGUGGUGAACCAUAGCCUCAUAAUCAAAAUAAGCAGGAGGCAAUUCAAUAUCAUCUUCGCGUAUGGCUAUACCAAGAAAAUUAGCUAUGCGGGUUGCAUAAAUUCCACCAAAGAAAUCUCCAUUAAAUCUAUUAAGAUGCAACCUACGUGCAAGAAUGGCUCCCAAAUUAUAAGAUUUAUCUCCUAACACAUCACUCCUAAGAAUACUGAGGUCGGGGACACACAUGUGACAUUCCUCAUCUUUACCAUUAAUGCAUCUACCUAUGAAGAGAGCAAAAUAAUGUAUAGCAGGAAAGUGAAUGCUCCCUAUAGUAGCUUGUGUUAUAUCUCUAGAUUCCCCCACGGUUAUACUAGCAAGAAAAUCUCUAAAUUCAGAUUUGCGAGGUUCCCUGACACAACCCCAUUGUGGAAGUUUGCAAGCAGUGGUAAAAUCCUCUAAGUCCAUAGUGUAUGAAUUUUCAUAAAGAUCAAACAGGACAGUUGGAGAAUUACGUGAAGAUGAAAAUUCAAACCUCCUCACAAAGCAACUAGUGAGAUAAUGAUACUGGCUGCACUUUUCUUCCUCGAAGCUCACUAGAUCAGCGUUACGCAAAUACGCGUGAAAUUCUUCCUUAAUUCCUGCUCGAUCCAUAAAAUUUUCUAAAGGCCAUUCACAAGGAUGCACUGAAGCGUUUCUUGGUGGCUCAUCAUCAGCAUCACGCAUUGCAAGCCUGGGCUCUUCUUUCCUUGAAGAGCCACCUUGGUACAUUUUCCUAAACAUAUUUCUUCCUCUGAAAAAUUUCUGAAAUUUUUAGUAACUUCAAAAUAAAAGUGAACAAAGCUCAAUAAUAUUGAUAGAAACUACUCCUACAAGUGCCUAGAGCCUAUAUCAUGCAUCAAAACUACUUGGAACCAUAUAAAUUUGACAUGCAAGCUCAAGAAUAGGGCCACCUAAGCAGCACAAAUUUGCAAUGAAUAAAGCACUAGAACAUAAACUAAUUGGACCAAUGGAGGAGUCACAUACCAAGGAACAAUCUCCCCAAGCAGUUUUGUGAGAGGUGCUUUGAGCAAGGAGAUCGAAAAUGGCAGCAAAAUGAGCUUGGACUCGGGUUUGAGCUGGAUAUUCGUGUUUGUGGGAGGAAGAAGGAGUGUGUGGGUGCAAGGAUAAGUGGAAGAGGGCAUUUGGAGAACUUUUAUUUUCGAGGUAUUUUUAUAUUGCACGGAUAAAUCAGAUAACAGACAGAAAUAUACUAUUUUUAUUUUAUUUAAUAUAAAUAACAGAAAGUAAGAGGAGGGUACAGAGAGUUGUGUUUUCUAGUUUCAUCCAUCUCAUGAUCAUCAAAAGGAAUCCACUAACAAGGUUGAUCAAGUCUAGUUAACGAACUCAUUCCGAGUAACAUGGAACAGGAGAAAUUUCAAAUAACACUAUGUUACCUCAACGGGGAUAUGCACAUCCCCAAUAAUAAGAAUAUCAUAUUUCUUCUUGACAGUAGGAAGAGAAAAUUCAAAACCUCCAAAUAUAAUCGAUGGAAUUUUUCCAAUAGAGUUGAUAUUAUGAACUUGAGGUUAUUUCCUCAGAAAGUGUACCGUAUGCUCAUUACCAUUAACAUGAAAAGUGACAUUGCCUUUAGUGCAAUCAAUAACAGCCCCUGCAGUAUUCAAAAAGGGUCUUCCAAGAAUAAUAGACAUACUAUCGUCCUCGAGAAUAUCAAGAAUAACAAAGUCCGUUAAAAUAGCAAUGUUUGCAACUACAACAGGCACAUCCUCACAAAUACCGACAGGUAUAGCAGUUGAUUUAUCAGCCAUUUGCAAAGAUAUUUCAGUAGGUGUCAACUUAUUCAAAUCAAGUCUACGAUAUAAAGAGAGAGUCAUAACACUAACACCGGCUCCAAGAUCACAUAAAGCAGUUUUAACAUAGUUUCUUUUAAUGGAGCAUGGUAUAGUUGGUACACCGGGAUCUCCAAGUUUCUUUGGUAUUCCACCCUUAAAAGUAUAAUUAGCAAGCAUGGUGGAAAUUUCAGCUUUCGGUAUCUUUCUCUUAUUUGUAACAAUAUCUUUCAUGUACUUAGCAUAAGGGUUCAUUUUAAGCAUAUCAGUUAAUCGCAUCCGCAAAAAGAUAGGUCUAAUCAUUUCAGCAAAGCGCUCAAAAUCCUCAUCAUCCUUUUUCUUGGACGGUUUGGGAGGAAAAGGCAUGGGUUUCUGAACCCAAGGCUCUCUUUCCUUACCGUGUUUCCUAGCAACAAAGUCUUUCUUAUCAUAACGUUGAUUCUUUGAUUGUGGGUUAUCAAGAUCAACAGCAGGUUCAAUUUCUAUAUCAUUAUCAUUGCUAGGUUGGGCAUCAACAUGAACAUUACCGUUAACAUUAUCACUAGUUUCAGGUUCAUUACCAGAUUGUGUUUCAGCAUCAGAAAUAGAAAUAUCAUUUGGAUUCUCAGGUGUUUCAAUAACAGGUUCACUAGAAGCAUGCAAAGUCCUAUCAUUUUUCUUUUUCUUCCUUUUAGAAGGACUAGGUGCAUCUAUAUUAUUUCUCUGAGAAUCUUGCUCAAUUCUCUUAGGAUGGCCUUCAGGACACAAAGGUUCCUGAGUCAUUCUACGACCUCUAGUCAUAACUCUGACAGCAUUAUCAUUAUUCUUACUAUUCAAUUCAUUGAGAAAAUCAUUUUGAGCUUUAAGUACUUGUUCUACUUGAGUGGUAACUAUAGAAGCAUGUUUACUAAUAAGUUUAAGUUCACCUUUGACAUUAGCCAUAUAAUCACCCAAGUGUUCAAGCAUAUUUGAAUUGUAUUUCAAUUGUCUACAAAAAUAAGCAUCGAAGUAUUCUUGCUUAACCAUAAAUUUAUCAAACUCAUCUAAGCAUGGGCUAGCAAACUUAGUAAAUGGGAUUUCAGCUUUAUCAUAUCUAUAGAGAGAAUUUACCUUUACCACCUGUGUCGGGUUAUCAAGACCAUGAGUUUCUUCAAUAGGUAAUGGAUUAAGAUCAUAUGUUUCUUCAACAGGCGGUAAAUUAAGACCGUGUAUUCCUUCAAUAGGAGGUAAAUUCUUAACAUCUUCAACUUUAAUACCUUUUUCUUUCAUAGAUUUCUUUGCCUCUUGCAUAUCUUUAGGACUGAGAAAUAGAACACCCCUCUUCUUCGGAGUUGGUUUAGGAAUAGGCUCAGGAGUUGGCUCAGGAAGUGUCCAAUUAUUUUCAUUUGUCAACAUAUUAUUCAAUAGAAUUUCAGCUUCAUCCGGUGUUCUUUCCCUAAAAAUAGAACCAGCACAACUAUCCAGGUAAUCUCUAGAAGCCUCGGUUAGUCCAUUAUAAAAGAUAUCAAGUAUUUCAUUUUUCUUAAGAGGAUGAUCAGGCAAAGCAUUAAGUAACUUGAGAAGCCUCCCCCAAGCUUGUGGGAGACUCUCUUCUUCAAUUUGCACAAAAUUAUAUAUAUCCCUUAAAGCAGCUUGUUUCAUAUGAGUAGGGUAAUAUUUAGCAGAGAAGUAAUAAAUCAUAUCCUGGGGACUACGUACACAACCAGGAUCAAGAGAAUUAAACCAUAUCUUAGCAUCACCUUUUAAUGAGAACGGAAAUAUUUUACAGAUAUAAAAGUAACGAGUUCUCUCAUCAUUAGUGAACAGGGUGGCUAUAUCAUUUAAUUUAGUAAGAUGUGCCAUAAUAGUUUUAGAUUCAUAGCCAUGAAAAGGAUCAGAUUCAACCAAAGUAAUUAUAUCAGGAUCAACAGAGAAUUCAUAAUCCUUAUCAGUAACACAGAUAGGUGAAGUAGCAAAAGCAGGGUCAGGUUUCAUGCUAGCAUUAAGAGAUUGCUGCUUCCAUUUAGCUAAUAACCUCUUGAGCUCGUAUCUAUCUUUGCAAGCUAAAAUAGCUAAAGAAGCUUCUUUAUCAAAAACAGAACCUUUAUCAAUAAUGGGCAAGUCUUCAUCAUCACUUCCAUCAAUAUUAUCAGAUUCAAUAUUUUCAUUCUCUCUAACCCUAGCAAGUUGUUCAUCAAGAAAUUCACCAAGUGGCACAGUAGUAUCAAGCAUAGAAGUAGUUUCAUCAUAAGUAUCAUGCAUAGCAGAAGUGGCAUCAUCAAUAACAUGUGACAUAUCAGAACGAAUAGCAGAAGCAGGUUUAGGUGUCGCAAGCUUACUCAAAACUGAAGGUGAAUCAAGUGCAGAGCUAGAUGACAGUUCCUUACCUCCCCUCGUAGUUGAGGGAUAAAUCUUGGUUUUUGGAUCUCUCAAGUUCUUCAUAAUGAUAAGCAGAUAUAAAUCCCAAGUGACUCAAAGAAUAGAGCUAUGCUCCCCGGCAACGACGCCAGAAAAUAGUCUUGAUAACCCAAAAGUAUAGGGGAUCGCAACAGUUUUCGAGGGUAGAGUAUUCAACCCAAAUUUAUUGAUUCAACACAAGGGGUGCCAAAGAAUAUUCUCAAGUAUUAGCAGAUGAGUUGUCAAUUCAACCACACCUGGAAACUUAAUAUCUGCAGCAAAGUAUUUAGUAGCAAAGAAAUAUGAUAGUAGUGGUAACGGUAGCAAAAUAAUGUUUUUGGUAUUUUGUAGAGAUGAUAGCAAUAGCAACGGAAAAGUAAAUAAGCGAGGAACUAUAUAUAGAAAGCUCGUAGGCAAUGGAUCGAUGAUGGAGAAUUAUGCCGGAUGCGGUUCAUCAUGUAACAAUCAUGACAUAGGGUGACACAGAACUAGCUCCAGUUCAUCAAUGUAAUGUAGGCAUGUAUUCCGAAUAUAGUCAUACAUGCUUAUGGAAAAGAACUUGCAUGACAUCUUUUGUCCUACCCUCCCGUGGCAGCGGGGUCCUAAUGGAAACUAAGGAAUAUUAAGGCCUCCUUUUAAUAGAGUACCAGAACAAAGCAUUAACACAUAGUGAAUACAUGAACUCCUCAAACUUUGGUCAUCACCGGCAAGUAUCCCGAUUAUUGUCACUUUGGGGUUAACGGAUCAUAACACAUAAUAGGUGACUAUAGACUUGCAAGAUAGGAUCAAGAACUCUCAUAUAUUAAUGAAAACAAAAUAGGUUCAGAUCUGAAAUCAUGGCACUCAGGCCCUAGUGACAAGCAUUAAGCAUAGCAAAGUCAUAGCAACAUCAAUCUCAGAACAUAAUGGAUACUAGGGAUCAAACCCUAACAAAACUAACUCAAUUACAUGAUAGAUCUCAUCCAACCCAUCACCGUCCAACAAGCCUACGAUGGAAUUACUUACGCGCCGCAGUGAGCAUCAUGAAAUUGGUGAUGGGGGAUGGUUGAUGAUGACGAUGGCGACGGAUUCCCCUCUCCGGAGCCCCGAACGGACUCCAGAUCAGCCCUCCCGAGACGUUUUAGGGCUUGGCGGCGGCUCCGUAUCGUAAAACGUGAUGAAUUCUUCUGUCUGAUUUUUUUUCUCCCCGAAACCAAAUAUGUAGAGUUGGAGUUGAGGUCGGAGGAGCUCCAGGGGGCCCACGAGGUAGGGGGCGCGCCCCACCCUCGUGGACAGGUGGUGGGCCCCCUGGCCUUCAUCUUUCGCAAGGAUUUUUUAUUAUUUCCGAAUAGAUGUUCCGUGAAGUUUCAGGUCAUUCCGAGAACUUUUGUUUCUGCACAUAAUAACACCAUAGCAAUUCUGUUGAAAACAGUGUCUGUCCAGGUUAGUUCCAUUCAAAUCAUGCAAGUUAGAGUCCAAAACAAGGGCAAAAGUGUUUGGAAAAGUAGAUAUGACGGAGACGUAUCAUAUAUCCAAUAGCAGAACGGUGCUUCUUUAGAGUUUUCAAUAAUUUUUCUUCUUCAUGCUCUGAAAGGUUAGCACUAAUUAUAACAGGAUAUAUCUUCUUUUCAUCAAGAUAAGCAUAUUUAAGAGUAUCAGGUAAUGGUUUAAGCUCAAACACGGGAUCACCCUUGGGUGGAGGAGGAUCCCCUAGGAUUUCAACCGGCAAAUUGUGUUUCAGAAUGGGUCCUUGUUUAAAGAAUACUUCAUCUAUUUGCCUUUUUUCAUUCAUAAACAUAUAAUUUUCAUGGUCUAGCAAAUAUUGUUCUAAAGGAUCAGUAGGAGGCACAACAAUAGAAGCAAGACCAAUAAUUUCAUCUUUACUAGGCAAUUCUUCAUCACGGGGUUGCCUACGAAAUUUAGAAAAGUUAAACUCAUGAGACAUAUCAUCCAAACCAAUAGUAACAACAUCCUUCUUGCAAUCUAUCUUAGCAUUAACAGUAUUCAAGAAGGGUCUACCAAAUAUAAUGGGACAAAAGCUAUCUUGAGGGGAACCAAGAACAAGGAAAUCAGCAGGAUAUUUAGUUUCCCACACAAGACCUCAACAUCUCUAACAAUCCCAAUUGGUGAAAUUGUACCUCUAUUAGCAAGCUUAAUGGUAACACCGAUGUCUUCUAUCUCAGCUGGUGCAAUAUCAUGCAUAAUUUAUUUAUAUAUGGAAAUAGGUAUUGCACUAGCACUAGCACCCAUAUCACACAAGCCAUGAUAACAAUGAUCUCCUAUUUUAACAGAAAUAACAUGCAUGCCUACCACAGGUCUAUGUUUAUCUUUAGCACCAGGUUUAGCAAUUCUAGUAGUCUCAUCACAGAAAUAAAUAACAUGCCCAUCGAUAUUAUCAGCCAAGAGAUCUUUAACAAUAGCAAUAUUAGGUUCAACUUUAACUUGCUCAGGAGGUAUAUAAGUUCUAAUAUUACUUUUACGAACCACAGUUGAAGCUUUAGCAUGAUCCUUUAUUCUAACAGGGAAAGGUGGUUUCUCAACAUAAGCAGUGGGAACAAUAUGAUCAUCAUAAGUGAAAGUUUUUUCUUCAACUUUAAUAGGUGCAACUACUUUUGUUUCAAUGUGAGGAUUAUAUUUAAACCACUCUCCUUAGGGAGAUUAACAUGAGUAGCAAAGGAUUCACAGAAAGAAGCUACUAUCUCAGAUCAAGUCCAUAUUUAGUGCUAAAUAUACGGAAAACAUUGGUAUCCAUAAAAGAUUUAACACAAUCAAACUUAGGUGCGAUAACCCACAAGUAUAGGGGAUCGCAACAGUUUUUGAGGGUAGAGUAUUCAACCCAAAUUUAUUGAUUAGACACAAGGGGAGCCAAAGAACAUUCUCAAGUAUUAGCAGUUGAGUUAUCAAUUCAACCACACCUGGAAACUUAAUAUCUGCAGAAAAGUGUUUAGUAGCAAAGUAAUAUGAUAGUAGUGGUAACAAUAGUAAAAGGUAACGAUAGCAAGAGUAAUAUUUUUGGUGUUUUGUAGUGAUGAUAACAAUAGCAACGGAAAGGUAAAUAAGCGAAGAAUAAUAUAUGGAAAGCUCGUAGGCAAUGGAUGGUGAUAGAGAAUUAUGCCGGAUGCGGUUCAUCAUGUAACAGUCGUAACCUAGGGUGACACAGAACUAGCUCCAGUUCAUCAAUGUAACGUAGGAAUGUAUUUUGAAUAUAGUCAUACGUGCUUAUGGAAAAGAACUUGCAUGCCAUCUUUUGUCCUACCCUCCCGUGGCAGCAGGGUCCUAUUGGAAACUAAGGGAUAUUAAGGCCUCCUUUUAAUAGAGUACCGGGCCAAAGCAUUAACACAUAGUGAAUACAUGAACUCCUCAAACUACGAUCAUCAUCGGUAAGUAUCCCGAUUAUUGUCACUUCGGGGUUAACGGAUCAUAACAUAUAAUAGGUGACUAUAGACUUGCAAGAUAGGAUCAAGAACUCUCAUAUAUUGAUGAAAACAUAAUAGGUUCAGAUCUGAAAUCAUAGCACUCAGGCCCUAGUGACAAGCAUUAAGCAUAGCAAAGUCAUAGCAACAUCAAUCUCAGAACAUAGUGGAUACUAGGGAUCAAACCCUAACAAAACUAACUCGAUUACAUGAUAAAUCUCAUCCAACCCAUCACCGCCCAGCAAGCUUACGAUGGAAUUACUCAUGCACGGCGGUGAGCAUCAUGAAAUUGGUGAUGGAGGAUGGUUGAUGAUGACGAUGGCGACAGAUUCCCCUCUCUAGAGCCCCGAACGGACUCCAGAUCAGCCCUCCCGAGAGAGUUAGGGCUUGGCGGCGGCUCCAUAUCGUAAAACACGAUGAAUCCUUCUGCUUGGUUUUUUCUCUCCGAAAGUGAAUAUAUGGAGUCAGGGUUGAGGUCGGUGGAGCGUCAGGGGGCCCACGAGGCAGGGGGCGCGCCUAGGGGGGUAGGGCGCGCCCCCACCCUCAUGGACAGGUGGAGCCCCCCCCCNNNNNNNNNNNNNNNNNNNNNNNNNNNNNNNNNNNNNNNNNNNNNNNNNNNNNNNNNNNNNNNNNNNNNNNNNNNNNNNNNNNNNNNNNNNNNNNNNNNNNNNNNNNNNNNNNNNNNNNNNNNNNNNNNNNNNNNNNNNNNNNNNNNNNNNNNNNNNNNNNNNNNNNNNNNNNNNNNNNNNNNNNNNNNNNNNNNNNNNNNNNNNNNNNNNNNNNNNNNNNNNNNNNNNNNNNNNNNNNNNNNNNNNNNNNNNNNNNNNNNNNNNNNNNNNNNNNNNNCCAGUAUUUUUUAUAUAUUCCAAAAUAAUUCUCCAUUGAUUUUCAUGUUAUUCCGAGAACUUUUAUUUCUGCACAAAAAUAACACCAUGGCAAUUCUGCUCAAAACAUCGUUAGUCCGGGUUAGUUUCAUUCAAAUCAUGCAAGUUAGAGUCCAAAACAAGGGCAAAAGUGUUUGGAAAAGUAGAUACGACGGAUACGUAUCAACUCCCCAAGCUUAAACCUUUGCUUGUCCUCAAGCAAUUCAGUUGAUAAACUAAAAGUGAUAAAGAAAAACUUUUACAAACUCUGUUUGCUCUUUUUUUUGUAAAUAUGUAAAGCCAGCAUUCAAGUUUUCAGCAAAGAUUAUGAACUAACCAUAUUCAUAAGAAUAUUUAGGUCUCAUGUUUACUCAUAUCAAUGACAUAAUCAACUAGCGAGCAAUAAUAAUAAAUCUCGAAUGACAACACUUUCUCAAAACAAUGAUGAUAUGAUAUAACAGGAUGGUAUCUCGCUAGCCCUUUCUAAGACCGCAAAACAUAAAUGCAGAGCACCUUUAAAUAUCAAGGACUAACUAGACAUUGUAAUUCAUGGUAAAAGAGAUCCAGUCAAGUCAUACUCAAUGUAAACUAACAGUAAUGAAUGCAAAUGACAGUGGUGCUCUCCAACUGGUGCUUUUUAAUAAGAGGAUGAUGACUCAACACAAAAGUAAAUAGACAGGCCCUUCGCAGAGGGAAGCAGGGAUUUGUAGAGGUGCCAGAGCUUGGUUUUGAAAUAGAUAUGAAUAAUAAUUUGAGUGGUAUACUUUCAUUGUCAACAUAACAACCGAGAGAUGACGAUAUCUUCCAUGCUACGCACAUUAUAGGCGGUUCCCAAACAGAAUGAUAAAUUUUAUACUCCCCCUCCACCAACAAGCAUCAAUCCAUGGCUGGCUCGAAACAACGAGUGCCUCCAACUAACAACAGUCCCGGGGGAGUUUGGUUUGCAAUUAUUUUGAUUUGAUUUGCAUAAAGCAUGGGACUGGGCAUCCUGGUGACCAGCCAUUUUCUCGUGAGUGAGGAGCGAAGUCCACUCGUCUUGAGAAUAACCCGCCUAACAUGGAAGAUACGGACAUCCCUAGUUGAUACAUGAGCUAUUCGAGCAUACAAAAUAGAAUGUUUAUUUGAAGGUUUAGAGUCUGACACCUGCGCCGACAUCAUCGAGACGGCCCAGCGUGCAAGCCUUACGCCGGUUCAGCCCGCACCAAGGCAUGUUUUCGUAGGUGUCAUCCAUGGAGCGGAAUAUGAGGAUGGACCGGCAUCUGAUGGGGAAGCUCUUGUCUGUUCUGAUGAUGAGUCUUCAACCGGAGAAACCGAGUCGCUAUAUCUGCUGUAGGACGACCGGGUUAGUGGGAGUUUCGUGGGCAACAGUAUUCCGGACCUCCUCGAUCUGCCAAGACGGGUCGCGGUCUUCAUGGCUGGUACACAACUAGCACAUCACUCUUCUAACACCACGGUGAUCUUCUCCGGUUCAGCAAUAGCAACGCCAGCAGGAGCAGGGGGCUCUACGCCGCCUCCCGCUCAGGUUUUGUCUGAUUUGUUCGAUGCUUUGGCAACAUUGAUGUCCUCGGAGGUGGACGCGGCAGCCCGAGAUCAACACAAUGCGGAGAUUGCAAAGGUGAAAGAUCAAAUAACUCAGGCUAAAGCGGACCUGGCAGCAGAGAACGCCAGGAUGGCUACAGAACGUGCCGAGUUGGCAGCUCAGGCCUACCGGCUUAGGUUGGACCAGAAUGCCUCAAAUGAGGUCAUGAGAAGGAGAUACCGGUCGCACCUCCCACCAGGUUAUGAGCCAAGAAAUCUCUUCAACAAGCCAGGAGCCGGAACCAGUAACCAGCCAGUGGUUAACCGGACGGAGGCGUCGGGAACAGAAGCGCCGGUUCAACCACGCACGAUGAACUCGCCUCGUCAGAACAACGUUGUGCCGCAGUAUGUUCCGAUGCCCCCAGGGCAUUACUCCAGCCCGUUGGACAACAUUAUGGCCGCUGCUUGAUGAUUGGCAGCCCUCCCAACUGACGGCGAGUCACCAGUGGUGAUUGAGACACGACGGGCUAGAGAGCUCCUUCAAACAACUUUAAACCAGCAGCAGGCUUAUUCGCAUAGUCACGAGAGGAUUCAUUCCACCCCCCGUCCGAGUCGAAGCUACAGCAGGCACGUUGAGGAUGAACCGACCGUAUCAAGCAGUGUACGUCACCAUAACUCGCCGCGAGGACACAACCCGGCAGGUGGUGGUGCUAAUGCGCAUGAUGUGGUGGAUCAUGGUCGUGCACGUCGAGAAGCCGAGUUGGCAGCUCUGCACGCCGCUCGUCAACCUACUCCGGUUCGCCCCACCACCUCAGUGGAGCCCGGCGUGGUAUUGAGUUCUUUAGGGGUGCCGUGUCUUACCCCCACUUUGCGUAAUGUAUGACUGCCCAAGGAUUUAAAGGGACCUCGUAAGGUGCCCAAUUACACUGCCGAUUUGCAACCGGAGUCAUGGGUGGAGAGUUAUGAGAUGGCGAUGGAGAUGCUGGAUGUGGAUGAAGCAGUGUGUGCUAAAUACUUCACCAUGAUGUUGGAGGGGACAACUCGAACUUGGUUAAAGAGCUUACCAGCUAACUCUGUCGGGUCAUGGGCUGAGUUAAAACACCGGUUUGUCCAGAAUUUCAAAGAUACAUGUAAGCAGCCUAUAUCAAUUAUGGACCUAGCCGCUUGUGUUCAAGAGGAGGGAGAGUCUACGAUGCAUUGGGUAAAGCGAGUCUCAGCUAUUUUGCAUUCAUCAGACCGCAUCAAUGCGGAUACAGCAAUUUUGACAUUGGAGGGCAACUGCCGGUUUACGCCAUUAAAAUUAAAGCUAGGGAGGCUCAAAUGUCACUGCAAUGACAUGUCAACCCUUAUGGCUGCUCUGGUGAAAUACGCCGAUUCAGAUAGUACCAAAGACCCUGAGUCUGAGGAUGAAAAACCGGGGAAAGGGAAAAAGAAUAGCAAUACCAAGGGGCAGCAGCACAAUCCGGCAGGUCAUGGAAAUAACGGUAAGCGCAAGGCAGACAAUAGUUUGGACUUCGUGGCUAACACCAAUGCGCAGGACAACGGUCAACGUCGUAAGGGUAAACAGCCCCAGAGGGACGGAGGGUCAGGACCCAAUCUGGAGUGCCUGUUAAAUCAACCUUGUCUAAAGCACGAAUCGAAAGAAAGACCCGCUUCACAUCUUUGAAAGGAUUGUUUCAUUAUGCAGGAGAUUAAGAAUUCCAAUAUGUUUCAAUAUGACAACAGCCCGCCCGGCGGUUCAGGAGGCGGUUUUCAUGGGCUGAGUUACGGAGGUGGCAGCUCCGGUUCAGGAUUCCAAGGUAAUCAAACCGAACAUGGCCAUCAAGGGAACCAGGGCAAUCAAGGAGGUUAUAACCAUCAGGGGAAUUAGCAGCAGCAGUCGGGUUAUCAGAGCAAUCCGAAGCAGUUGAAUAGUGGGCAGUAUCAUGUCUUCACCACUAGCUUGUGCAAGCGUGAUCAGAAGCUUCACAAGAGGGCCGUGAACUCUGUUGAACCGGCAGUGCCUCAAUAUUUGCGCUGGUCUAAGCAACCAAUUUUAUGGAGUCGGGAGGAUCACCCACCCCGGGUUGAUAAUUCGGGUCAUCUGGCCUUAGUGGUGGCACCUCAAGUUGGGGGGUAUAAGUUCACCAAAGUGCUCAUGGAUGGUGGAAGUAGUAUCAACAUCCUUUACUAUGAUACCUUCCGUCGUAUGGGGUUGACAGAUAAGAAUCUUAAACCGUCGAACGCCAUUUUCCAUGGUGUGGUGCCCGGAAAAUAUGCGUAUCCUGUGGGUAAGAUAGCCCUAGAAGUGGCCUUUGGAGAUGAUCAUGAUUCAAGGUCAGAAACAUUGACUUUUGAGGUGGUGAAAUCAAGAGUCCGUAUCACACCCUGUUUGGGCAACCGGCUUAUGCCAAGUUCAUGGCGAGGACGUGUUAUGUUUAUCUGGAGCUUAAGAUGCCAGGUCAUAAGGGGACCAUCACAGUACAUGGGAGCAGGAAGAUUGCUUUGGAAUGUGAGGAAGGUGAUGCGGCUUACGCUGAGUCAGUUUGUGCCACAGAAGAGCUGAAGUUUUAUAAAGAUAAGGUUGAUCCGGCAGACAUGACUUCUUUGAAAAAGCCAACUAUGGAGCACGAUCCGGCGUUGAAGUUUAAAUCGGCCACAGACACUAAGAUGGUUGAUUUUGUUCCUGGCGAUUCAACCAAGCAGUUCAGCAUCAGCGCUAACAUGGAUCCCAAAUAGGAAAGCACGCUCAUCGAGUUCAUCCGUGAGAACCGGGACAUCUUUGCAUGGAAGCCUUCUGACAUGCCAGGUGUACCGAGGGAACUCGCUAGGCACAGACUUAAUAUAGAUCCUAAGUUUAAACCGGUCAGGCAGUUUCUUCGCUGCUUCAACGAAGAAAGGCGUAAGUCUAUUGGUGAGGAGGUAGCUCGGCUGUUGGCUGCAGGGUUUAUCGUGGAGGUUUUUCACCCUGAACGGUUAGCUAAUCCGGUGCUGGUUCUUAAGAAAAAUGGCACUUGGCAUAUGUGUGUGGACUACACAGAUUUGAACAAAGCUUUUCCAGCAGAUCCCUUUGCCCUCCCUCGCAUUGAUCAGAUUAUUGAUGCUACGGCGGGUUGUGACUGUUUGUGUUUUCUGGAUGCUUACUCUGGUUAUCAUCAGAUCAAAAUGGCAGAUAAGGACCAAGAGAAGACAGCUUUUAUAAUUCCCUUUGGAGCCUUCUGCUAUGUCUUCAUGCCCUUUGGGCUCAAGAGUGCCCAGGUGACUUAUCAGGAUGUGUUCAGAAUUUUCUUCAUAAACAGAUUGGGCGCAAUGUUUGUGCAUAUGUGGAUGAUAUUGUGGUGAAGUCCAGGAAGAAGGAAACAUUGAUAUAUGACUUGAGGGAGACUUUUGACAACCUCCGGGUUUAUAAGAUGAUGCUUAAUCCGGACAAAUGUAUCUUUGGUGUUCCAACAGGCAAGCUCCUGGGUUUUCUGGUGUCAAACAGGGGCAUUGAGCUUAAUCCAGAAAAGAUUUCAGCAGUCACAUCCCUGGCCAAACCGGCGUGUAUCAAUGACGUUCAACGUUUAGCCGGCCGGAUUGCGGCUUUGAGCCGGUUUAUUAGUCAUCUCGGGGAGAAAGCUAUUCCUUUAUAUUAGAUGCUAAAGAAAACGGAUGAUUUUGUAUGGAGUGAUGCGGCUGAUAAAGCAUUUUAGGAUUUGAAGAGGCAGUUAGCUGAACCGCCUGUCCUUGCGGCUCUGGUCGACAAAGAGCCUUUACUUCUAUAUGUGGCUGCUAAUGCCCGGGCUGUUAGUGUGGCUAUUGUUGUGGAGCGCAAGGAGGCUGGAAAGGAGUAUCUGGUUCAACAGACGGUUUAUAAUAUCAGUGAGGUGCUUAUCGAAUCAAAGCAGAGGUAUACGCAUUGGCAGAAGCUGGUGUAUGGGGUGUUUAUGGCAAGCCGGAAGCUCAAACAUUAUUUUCAGGGUCAUCCUAUCACAAUGGUCAGUUCAACCCCUCUAGGAGAUAUCAUUCAAAACAGAGAAGCAACUAGCCGGAUUGCCAGGUGAGCUAUUGAGCUUGGACCUCACGGGCUCAAGUAUACACCUUGCAGAGCGAUCAAAUCUCAAGCACUCAUGGACUUCAUCAAUGAUUGGACAGAGUUGCAGGCACCAGAGGAAAAGCCAGACAAUACUUAUUGGACUAUUCACUUUGAUGGGUCCACGCAAUUGGAUGGCUCGGGGGCUGGAGUCAUAUUAACUUCCACAUGAGGUGACAAGUUUUGUUAUGUUCUUCACUUAAUGUUCCCUUGUACUAACAAUGCAGCUGAGUACGAGGCCUUACUCCAUGGUCUUCGGAUGGCUAAGGAGAUGAACUUAAGCCGGGUUAAGUGCUUCGGUGACUCGGACCUAGUGGCUCAACAGGUACCUGGCACUUGGGAUUCUAAGGACCCACUCAUGGCUGCAUAUCGAUGAGAGGUGGACAUAGUGGAUGGUCAUUUGAAGGGUUAUCAAGUUGACCAUAUAGACCGACGAAAGAAAGAAGUGGCGGAUGCUCUAAGUCGCCUAGGCUCUCGGCGUAAACCGGUGCCACCUAAUGUCUUCCUCGACGUACUGCAUAAUCCGUCGGUCAAGAUACCCACAGAGGAGGAGUUGGCUAUUCCUGACCCAAAUGCCCAAUUGGUGGCAGCUUUGCAUGUUAUAGCGGAUUGGACAGUCCCGUACUUGGCUUACAUGAACCGGGGCGAGUUACCGGAGGAUGAAACCUUGGCCCGGCAGAUAAUCCGGCGAUUCAAGUCAAUGACCAUUAUCAAUGGGGAGUUACAUCAUUACAGCGUUACAUGAGCAAUUCAGCGUUGUGUGUCUCCUCAAGAGGGUUGUGAGAUUUUGCGAGAAAUCCACGAAGGAGAUUGUGGUCAUCACGCCAGUUCAAAAUCCUUGGUGGCUAAGGCUUUUUGUCACGGCUUCCAUUGGUUGACAGCUCAUGCUGAUGCUGAGGAUUUAGUCAAAAGGUCUGACGGUUGUCAAAAAUUUCCAUGUCGCGCUCAUGUUCUGGCUCAAGAGUUGAGAAUGAUUCCAAUCACUUGGCCGUUUGCAACUUGGGGCCUCGAUAUGGUUGGACCCUUUAAGAGAUCCAAGGACAAAAAGACCCACCUGUUAGUGGAAGUUGACAAGUUUACCAAGUGGGUGGAAGCAAAGCCAGUAAGUAAGUGUGAUGCAGCCACAGCGGUUCAAUUCAUCAAAAAGGUGAUAUUUUGGUUUGGUUUCCCACAAAGUAUUAUAACUAAUAAUGGUACUAAUUUGUCAAAGGGUGAGAUGGAGGAAUUUUGCCAACGUGAGCACAUCUGGCUUGAUGUAGCGUCAGUGGCUCACCCCCAGUCUAAUGGUCAAGCAGAGAGGGCAAAUCAAGAAAUUUUGAGAGGUAUCAAAUCCCAGCUUAUGGUUCCUUUAAAGCGGACACCAGGUUGUUGGGUGGAGGAGUUACCUUCUGUGUUAUGGAGUAUCAACACCACACCAAACAGAUCGACGGGUUAUACACCUUUCUUCAUGGUUUAUGGAGCAGAGGCAGUUCUUCCUAGUGACAUCCGUCAUGACUCGCCCCGUGUGGCAGAUUAUGUUGAAGCUGACAAUGAGAAGGCACGUCAGGACUCACUGGACCUAUUAGAUGAGGAACGUGAUCUCGCAGCGGCACGUUCGGCGAUUUAUCAACAAGAUCUCCGGCAUUAUCACAGCCGCCGGGUUAAAACCAGAACUUUUCAAGAGGGUGACCUGGUGCUCCGGCUCAUCCAGGAUCAAACUGAUAUGCACAAGUUAUCCCCACCUUGGGAAGGACCUUUUGUGGUCAGCAAAAACCUACACAACGGGUCAUACUACCUUAUCGAUACUCGAGAGCACAAAGACUCACGUAAAUCAGAGGAGGAGACAAAGCGGCCAUGGAAUAUAGCCCUUCUUCGCCUUACUAUACUUGAGCCACAGGUUCUUCUUAUGUACAUACUUAUGACAAUGUAUAUAUUAUACAAUAAACCGGAGCCUCGACUAAAGCGGGGUCUCUGUUCCUUUUUACAUCAUGUGUGGUUUCACAGGGGUUUCUACUGACAAAGCGGAGUUUUAUUAACCCGGCCGAUAAGGCCACAUAGAUAUAAAGAAAGUCACUAGGGGGCUUGGUCGUAUUCAAACCAUAGCCACACCUCUUGAUCGGUUUAAAACCAAAAAGGGAUAUCACUAGGGGGCUUGGUCGUAUCCGAACCAUAGCUACACCUCUUGAUCAGUUUAAAACCAAAAAGGGAUAUCACUAGGGGGCUUGGUUGUUUUCACACCAUAGCUACACCUCUUGAUAGGCUUCAAGCCAAAAGCAAAUUAUGUGGAACCAAAGAGAGUCUGUUGCAUCAAGCACAACUCAAACAUAGGUAACCACUGAGCACAGCUCAAAUAUUACCUGGGGGCUCCUUGCUUCUCAAAGAACAACGAGCUUGCACCCUUGUAAUAGGCUAUCAAGCCAGGCUUGGAAGCUAGGUGUAUUCACCUAAAACCCCGGGUUAUGCUGCUUCUUUAAGUAAGCCACUCCGUCCAGGUAAACCUGGUAUGACCCAUCGAACGUUUGACAAGUCAAUCUCAUGGACCCUGAACUUGUCAAAGUUAAAACGGUGAUUGGUUAAAGAUUGAGGUCCAUCUUAAAAGGCUUUGCACAAUGGUUUAACUCAGCGGCUUGGCAGCCCAUGAAAAGCCUCGAUUUAGGGCCUGGCAGCCCAUGUCAUCGAAACCCCAUCAAUUCCAUCGCAACUAGACGUACGCUUUUACCUUCAUUGAAGGGGCCGAACUAGUAUAAACUCUCUUGCGUCCAUGUGUCCACUUUAACCCCUUCAAGCUAACCCGUCGCGAUGGCUCCACGACUAAGUCCUUUAUCUAGGACAUCUACCGUGACAAAACCACGACAGUUGGCGCCCACCGUGGGGCUAUCGCACGAUGGUUUCCGGUUCUUGGAGGGCCGCUUUGAAGGACUUGAGGGCUACGCUCUAGGCCGGAUGACUAAGAGUCAUCGCGGCAAGCUCUACAUCGACGACGCGGGCUGGGGCCCAGAGGCCGGCUCAAUUGAGUACGGGUACCGGGUCCCCUUUGGUAGCAUUCACGUUUUCAUUGGCAAGAUCGGUGAACCGGGCCCUGAGCCGGACAUCUGCACCGACCUCGUCGAGACGGCUCAGCAUGCGCGAUCCGCCUGGGUUAAACCUGCCAUGAAGCGUGCCUUCGUGGGAGUCAUCCAUGGAGGAAGUUAUGAGGACGGAUCGUAAUUUUGCGGCGUGACCGUCGUUUGCUCCAGUGACGAAUCUUCGACCGGAGGAACCGAAUCUCUUUAUCGGCUACAAGAUGGCCAUAUUGGGAGCUGUUCCGAUGGCGACAGUAUUCCGGACCCCUCUGAUCUGCCCAACCGGGUUGGAAUAUUCAUGGUCGGAACACAAGCAUCGCUUCAUUCUUCGACAGCUGCGGCAACGAUCUCCGGUUCAGCAGCGGCGACGGCUGCCGGGGCAGGAGGCCCUGUGCGCCCGCCGGCUCAGGUUCUAUCAGAACUAUUUGAUGCGUUGGUUGUGCUUAUGGCGGAAGUUAAUCCGCCGGAUCAGGACGUUCACAAUGCGGAGAUUGCAAAGGUAAAGGAACAGAUCACCCAGGCCAAGGCGGAUCUGGCGGCUGAGGACACCAGGAUGGCCGCAGAGCGGGCCGCUUUAGAUGCACAGGCUUACGGGCUUAUGUUGGACCAGAGUGCGUCGCAUGAAGUCAUGAGGAGGAAGCACCGAUCCCGCUUACCUCCGGUUUUCGAGGCCAGAGACCUUUUCAACACUCCAGGACCAAGAGCCGGCAAUCCGCUGGAGGGAAACCGGGCAGAAGCCCCUGGGACCGGUGCGCCGGUUCAGCCUCGUCAGAUGGACCCGCCUCGUCAAAACACCGUUAUACCUCAGGCUGCUUUAACACCGCCGGGUCACUACUCCAACCCAAUGGACAAUCUUGUUGCCGCCGCUGCACGGCUGGAGGCCAUUCCAAUUGAAGGUGACUCGCCGCAGGCAGUAGAGACGGGACGGGUCAAGGAACUUCUAAGGACAGCUUUGGCCCAACAGGAAGUGUACUCGUACAGCCGCGACCGGAUCCACUCGACCCCCCGUCCAAGCCAGAGUUAUAGCAGACAUAUGGAUGAACCAGCAGUGUCAAGUAAUGAAUGAUGUGGGGCACCCCGUGACAACAACCCGGCGGGUGGUGCUGAUAACACUCAGGAAGUGGUGGACCGGGCCCGCGCGCGCAGGGAGGCCGAGUUAGCCACACAACAUCAGGCUCGGCAGCUCACGCCGGUUCGUCCAACCACCUUGACUGAACCUGGCGUUACUUCUAGUUCUUUGGGGGUGCCUUGCCUUAUCCCCGCUUUACGCAACGUGCGCCUGCCCAAGGAUUUCAAAGGCCCGCGCAAGGUACCCAAUUACACGGCGGAUCAACCUCCAGAGACAUGGGUGGAGAGCUAUGAGAUGGCCAUGGAAAUGCUUGAUGUGGAUGACGCGGCGUGUGCGAAAUACUUCACCAUGAUGCUUGAAGGAACGGCCCGUACUUGGUUAAAAAGCUUGCCGGCUAAUUCUAUCAGUUCAUGGGCCCAGUUACGAGCCCAGUUUAUCAGCAAUUUCAAGGAUACCUGUAAACAGCCUAUGUCGAUAGUGGACUUAGCUGCAUGCGUCCAGGAGGAAGGAGAAUCAACGACUCAUUGGGUGCGCCAAGUUUCACAAGUGUUGCACUCCUCAGACCGCAUCAACACUGACACCGCAGUAUUAACCCUAGAAGGCAACUCCGGUUUGGGCCCCUGAAGCUGAAGUUGGGACGGAUGAAGCGUCAUUGCACCGACAUGGGGACCCUCAUGGCCGCUUUGGUGAAAUAUGUUGAUUCUGAUAGUACCAAGGAUCCUGAAUCUGAUGAUGACAAUACAGGGAAAGGGAAGAAGAACAGCAGCUCCAAAGGUCAGCAGCAUUACUGGGCAGGCAAUGGUGGCGGAGGCAAGCGUAAAGCGGAUGGUAACAUGGACUUUGUCGCUAAUACCAAUGCACAGGACAAUGGCUAGCGAUGCAAGGGUAGACCGAAAAAUCGUAAUGGAGCACCCAACCCUAACCCAAACCGCCUAAACUAUCUGCUAAGCCAGCCCUGUCGAAGACAUGGGACGAAGGAGGCGCCAGCAAACCACCUUUGGAAGGAUUGCUUUAUUGUGCAGGAGUUCAAGAAUUCUAAUAAUUUCCGGUAUGAUCACGAAUCUGGCGGUGGCUCAGGAUCCGGACCGGGUUACGGUGGAGGAAGUUCCGGUUCAGGAUUCAAUGGUAAUUCGGGCGGACAUAAUGGUCAAAAUAGUCAGAACAACCAGGGUGGUUACAACCAACAGCAGCAACAGUCAGGAUACCAGAGCAACCCAAAGCAGUUGAGUAAUGGGCAGUACCAUGUCUUCACCACUAGCUUGGACAAGCGAGACCGGAAGGUUCAGAGGCGGGCGGUCAACUCUGUUGAACCGGCCAUACCCCGUUAUCUAUGUUGGUCUGAACAGCUAAUCAUAUGGAGCAGAGAAGAUCACCCUCCCUAGGUCGAUAAUCCGGGCCAGUUGGCUCUAGUGGUGGCGCCUCAGGUGGGAGGUUACAAAUUCACCAAGGUGCUCAUGGAUGGAGGGAGCAGCAUUAACAUCCUGUACUAUGAGACCUUCCGUCGUAUGGGACUAACAGAUAAGAAUCUCAAACCAUCUAAUACAGUGUUCCAUGGUGUAGUUCCUGGCAGAUCAGCAUAUCCUGUUGGUAAGAUAGCUCUGGAAGUGGCCUUUGGGGAUGAUCAUGAUUCCAGAUCGGAGACAUUGACGUUUGAAGUGGUGAAAAUCCGGAGUCCAUAUCAUGCCCUGUUUGGGCGACCGGCCUACGCCAAGUUUAUGGCUCGGCCCUGUUAUGUGUAUUUGCAGCUCAAGAUGCCGGGUCACAAGGGGACAAUAACGGUUCACAGAAGCCGCAAAAUUGCUUUGGAGUGUGAGGAAGUAGAUGCGGCCUAUGCAGAGUCAGUCUCUGCCACCGAGGAGUUGAAGUAUUAUAAAGACAAUGUUGAUCCGGCGGACAUGACUCCGUUGAAGAAGCCAACUACGGAGCAUGAUCCGGCCCUAAAGUUCAAAUCGGCAGCAGAAACUAAGCUUGUUGACUUCGUACCUGGCGAUUCGUCCAAGCAGUUCAACAUCAGUGCCAACUUGGAUCCAAAAUAGGAAAGCGCGCUCAUCGUGUUCAUCCGUGAGAAUCGGGACAUUUUUGCAUGGAAGCCCUCUGACAUGCCAGGUGUACCGAGGCCACUCGCUGAGCACACACUUAAUGUGGAUCCUAAAUAUAAACCAGUGAAACAGUUCCUCCGCCGGUUUAACGAAGAAAGACACAAGGCGAUUGGAGAAGAGGUAGCCAGGCUCUUAGCAGCUGGUUUUAUUGUUGAAGUUUUUCACCCUAAGUGGCUUGCCAAUCCGGUGCUGGUCCUCAAGAAAAAUGGCACCUGGCGCAUGUGCGUGGAUUACACAGAUCUUAAUAAAGCUUGUCCAGCAGAUCCUUUUGCCCUCCCCCGUAUUGAUCAGAUUAUUGAUGCUACGGCGGGUUGUGAGUGUUUAAGUUUUUUGGAUGCAUAUUCUGGCUAUCAUCAGAUCAAAAUGGCAGUUAAGGACCAGGAGAAGACGGCACUUGUUGAUUGGACGGAAAUGCAAGCACCUGAAGAAAAGCCGGAUCAUACGUAUUGGACCAUCCAUUUUGAUGGAUCCAGGCAAUUGGAAGGCUCGGGGGCUGGAGUCGUAUUAACUUCCCCACUAGGUGAUAAGUUUUGUUAUGUUCUCCGCUUAAUGUUCCCUUAUACUAACAAUGCAUCUGAGUAUGAAGCCUUGCCCCAUGGUCUCCGGAUGGCUAAGGAGAUGAAUCUAAGUCAAGUUAAGUGCUUCGGUGACUCGGACCUUGUGGCUCAGCAGGUGUCUGGCACUUGGGACUCCAAGCACCCACUCAUGGCAGCAUAUCGUCGUGAGGUGGAUAUUGUUGCAGGUUAUUUCAAAGGCUAUCAGGUGGACCACGUGGACCGGCAGAAAAAUGAAGCGGCGGACGCUUUAAGCCGGCUAGGCUCUCAGCGCAAACCGCUCCCGCCCAAUGUUUUUCUGGAUGUGCUGCACAACCCGUCGGUCAAGAUCCCUGGUGAAGAGGAUUUGGCUAUUCCUGAUCUGAAGUCUCAAUUGGUGGCAGCUCAUCAUGUUAUUCCGGAUUGGACGCUUCCUUAUCUGGCGUACAAGAGCCGGGGUGAGUUGCCAGAGGAUGAGAUUCUGGCCCGGCAGAUAAUCCGGCGAUCCAAGUCUAUGGCUAUCAUCAACGGCGAGUUGCAUCAUUGCAGUGUAUCAGGAGCUUUUCAAUGCUGCGUGUCUCCUAAAGAAGGCCGUGAAAUUUUGCGUGAGAUCCACGAAGGAGAUUGUGGUCACCACGCCGGUUCAAAGUCUCUGGUGGCUAAAGCGUUUCACCAUGGCUUCUAUUGGUUAACUGCUCAUGCUGAUGCGGAGGAUCUGGUUAGACGAUGUGAUGGUUGCCAAAGGUUUUCAAGACGUGCUCAUGUACCGGCUCAAGAAUUGAAAAUGAUUCCAAUUACUUGGCCAUUUGCGACUUGGGGGCUGGAUAUGGUUGGGCCUUUCAAAAGGUCCAAAGAUAAGAAAACCCACCUCCUGGUGGCGGUUGACAAGUUUACAAAGUGAGUGGAGGCAGAACCUGUUAGCAAGUGUGAUGCGGCCACGGCGGUUCAGUUCAUCAAAAAGGUGAUUUUCCGGUUUGGCUUUCCGCACAGUAUCAUUACAGAUAAUGGUACCAAUUUGUCCAAAGGUGCCAUGAAGGAGUUCUGCGAACGGGAGCACAUCCGGCUCGACGUUUCAUCAGUGGCACAUCCACAGUCCAAUGGUCAAGCAGAAAGAGCUAAUCAAGAGAUCUUGAGAGGCAUCAAGCCCCAGCUCAUGGCUCCUUUGCAGAGAACGCUGGGUUGUUGGCUAGAAGAAUUACCAUCUGUGUUAUGGAGUAUCAAUACAACACCCAACAGAUCAACAGGAUACACACCGUUCUUCAUGGUUUACGGAGCGGAGGCGGUUCUCCCUACUGAUAUCCAUCAUGAUUCACCUCGUGUGACGGCUUAUAUUGAAGCGGACAACGAGAUGGCACGGCAAGAUGCUUUGGACCGGUUGGAUGAAGAGCGUGACAUCGCAGCCGCCUGAUCGGCGAUUUACCAGCAGGAUCUUCGUCGUUAUCACAGUCGCCGAGUCAGAACCAGAACCUUCUAGGAAGGAGAUUUGGUGCUUCGGCUCAUCCAAGAUCAGACUGAUAUGCAUAAGCUAUCCCCACCUUGGGAGGGGCCUUUCGUGGUCAGCCAGAAUCUGCACAACGGGUCGUACUAUCUGAUCGAUAUUCGAGAGCAUAAAGACUAACGCACAUAAAAGGAGGAGACCAACAGGCCGUGGAACAUAGUUUAUCUUCGGCCUUACUAUACCUGAGCCAUUGGCUAUACUUAUGUACAUAUUACGACAAUGUAUAUAUUAUUAUUAAAUAUAAUAAACCGGAACCUCAGCUAAAGCGGGGUAUCUGUUCUUUACAUCAUGUGAGGUUACACGGAGUUGCUCUAAAGCGGCCUCCGGUUUACCCCUUGAGUUUGCUUUUUUUAAAAGCAUCAUGUUAUAUCACUUGGGGGUUUGGUCGUGUCCGAACCAAUACCAUACCUCUUGAUAGGCGAGACCCACCAGAUCACUUGGGGACUUGGUCAUGUCUGAACCAGUCAUGCCUCUUGAUCGGCCUAAGGCCACAGCAUCACUUGGGGGCUUGGUCGAACCCGAACCAUGACCAUGUCAUUUGGUCGGCAUAAAUACCAUGGUUUCAUUUGGGGACCUGGCUGACUAGAACCAUAGUUACACCUAACGUAAGCUUGGUCGUGUUUGGCCAUGGUAACGCCAUUUGAUCAGCUCAAAUAAACCUUUUUUGCAAACGGUUUUUUCCUUGCAUUUGCUUCACAUUUUUCUUUGAAGGGUUUUUUUUCUUUAUAUUGCGUUUUUUAAACCGACAAAGUUUUUUAACCAAUCAAUUGACGGAACACAGUUCACGUCAAUCCGGAGACUAUUUGCCCGGUUUGAUCCUUCUUGUUAACAUCCUCUUAUGGAGUAACACGGUGUUUAUUAUAACCCGGCACGGUUUACCUGGUAAACCAGCGUCAUAUAUAUACAGGAGCUGUUAUCUCCUCCAACAGUGUGGGUUUGCAAAACUCCGCUUCAAGAUUGGCCAAGCCAACUUCAUGCUCGACGAUGGCAGGUAUUAUGUAUCACAAAAAUUUGGUUAUAUACUUAAGAAUUUUUUGGAUGUUUUGACUUCAUAUAUGCAGACAUCAUAUUCCGCCGGACGGUACAACCGUGGUGGCACUUGAUGAGUUUUUUAUUGCAGAAAGUGCUUUGGAAAGUUCAUCACCACAGGAAGAAAAAAUUAUGCAUGAAGGCAUAUCAACAUCAAAAGUAACAGCUAGUCUAUUACAAGGAAACACGGUGCCCAUAACAAUAUCAUUGUUUUUCGCAAAGGAGAGGCAGUUUCAAAACCGGCUUCCGGUUCAAGCUUGGUCACCAUGCGCCGCUUCAGCCUCCGUUUCUCUACCCAGUGGCUGGAAAUCAACAGUUGUCCGGUCGAUUCCCAUUAAUACUUGAAAAACUGCUUCAUCAUGGAUCAACAAUGACGGGUUAAUAUCGGGAGCGUAUGUGUGCUUACGGAUUGGUGGGAUAAGAUUUUUCGACUCAUGAAUUGGGGCAGCUAUUCGCUUGUUCUGAUUAUCAUAUUGAGCUUGAUAACGAGACAAGUCUGCUUCUUCAGCCAGUUGACAAGCUAGUGGACGCACCUCCCAGUUUAUGGCUCGCUGAUCCGCUUCACUAAAUUCUGACCCAUCUUCUUUCAAACUGGGACAGCCCUGAGCCGCUUCAAUAGGAUCAAAAUCCGGCACCCAGGCUUUUGCUCGCAUUAAGGCAUUGAUCGCACCGGUUCGAGCAGCAGAUUUCUUCAGCUCUUCAACCCGGGCGGGAAGCACCGACAGUUUCAUCAGGGUAUCUUGAAUCAAAGUGGGCGCCAGUUUGUUGUGAGAUGCGGUACAGAUGAUCCGAUGUGCGCCAGUAUACAGCUGUUCGACCAACAUGUAGACGGUUUUCAAUUUUUUCCGCACAUCUGAACCCAAGUGACCAGUGCGUGUCCCUGAAAUAUCAUAAGGGUUAAACCGGCAGUUCUGUAAGAAGGCCGAGUCAAUUAAGACGUCAAACUGGCUUACCAAAGAUAGCAGUGGUCAUAGUAUGCACGUGCCGUUUUAUACUGGUCAGUUCAUCCGCCACCGGUUUUAGUGCAGCCUCGGCAUCCUCUAUUUGUUUGAUUAAAGUGGACUUUUCAGUGGCCCAAUCCGCCUGCUUCUUCUUGAAGCUCUCCUUAAGCUUCUCCAUGGUGCUUAAAGCGCUGACUAAUUUCUCUUUUGCUUUGGAGGUUUCAGCUUGUUGGAUUUUUAGAUUUUCUUGGAGGUCGGCGAUUUGGUUUUCUUUCGUCUUCAGCUCAGCCUGCAUGCAGAUAGUUAUAUGCUUCAACAAAAUGGUACAAGGAUUGAAGUACCAACCACAUAACAAGUUAUGCACUUGGCACUUGGGGGCUAAUGCAUAUUCGAUCUUCAUCUUUCAAUUGCUCACAAAGUCCCAAGAUCAAUACAAGUAUUCAACUUGGCACUUGGGGGCUAAUGGAUAUUUGCUCGUAUAUAUUCUGAUGCGGCAAUUUCAAUUACUUAAAGUACCGGUUUAACUACGCUAAGUUGAACCGGCCCUUGGGGGCGACAUCAGCGAAUUUCAAAGCAUCAAGAUUUAUAUUAGUAAGUCCCGGUUUGAAAGAAUAUUACAAGCCGGCCCUUGGGGGCUACGAGAGUCAGCAAGAAUGGAAGGAUACAAGCAGGAAGGAGCAUAUGGAAGUUACCUCAUAUUUAUCUUUCAUCAUAUUAACCAGACCGGCUUCAUAGUCGCGGCUGGUAUACAACUGGUUCAGAUAGCCGGAAUGGAUAUCUUGGGCGUUCAGAGCAGCAUAAGUCGUCAGAUCAGCGUUGCACUUGGCUUUGCCAAAGGCAGCAAAUUCUUCCUUGGCAGAAUGUUUGGACAAAGCGACAGGAUUGCUUGGCUCAGUAUGGCCAGUGCCAGUAAUGACAACCUCAUCAUCCUUGGUACCGCCGGUUUGCACUGGAGCUGUUGGCUUGUCAGUAGGUUUUACUGGACCGGUGGAGCUUUCAAUCCGAAUGGAGCCUGUGGGCUGAUUGACAGGGCCUGAGGCAUCACUAGGUCUCUCUUCAGAAAUAAGAUCGUCGUCUUGCUGCGGCAGAUUGUUGGGUAUAUACUCAGGAAUAGCCGCUUCAAGAUCAGGUGUCUUGCCUGGCUCAAGAACGGCAUCUUCUUCGGCCGCUUUGUCCAGGCGGGCCUUCUUGCUUGGCCUAGGUUUGGCCCUGAGAAGAAUAACAAAAUCAAAUACAGCAUAUGUUCCAAGGCGAUGUACUGCAGAUAUCACAAUAAGUAUAGCUUACCCAAGCACUGUUUUGAGCAGUGGCAGCUGAGUAGCUGAUGACUUGCCAGAAGAGGAGUAGGAGGUAACCUGGUAAUCGGAGUCAGAUGGAUUAAGAGGUUGACGAAAGCAGCCCGCUUGAGGACAAGCACUGACAAGCAAAUUAGAGACCUCUGAAUGGCGUUUUUGAACCGGACUGUUCGGUAAACCGGCGGAGGUAACUACUGUUGGGGAACGUAGCAGAAAUUCAAAAUUUUCCUACGUAACACCAAGAUCUAUCUAUGGAGAGACCAGCACCGAGUAGAAAGAAGAGUGCAUCUACAUACCCUUGUAGAUCGCUAAGCGGAAGCGUUCAAGUGAACGGGGUUGAUGGAGUCGUACUCGUCGUGAUUCAGAUCACCGAUGAUCCUAGUGCCGAACGGACGGCACCUCCGCGUUCAUCACACGUACAGCUCGAUGAUGUCUCCCACGCCUUGAUCCAGCAAGGAGAGAGGGAGAGGUUGAGGAAGACUCCAUCCAGCAGCAGCACAACGGCGUGGUGGUGAUGGAGGAGCGUGGCAAUCCUGCAGGGCUUCGCCAAGCACCUACGGGAGAGGAGGAGGUGUCACGGGAGGGAGGGAGGCGCCAAGGGCUCAGGUAUGGAUGCCCUCCCUCCCCUCCACUAUAUAUAGGGGCAGGGGAGAGGGGGGAGGCGCAGCCUUGCCCCCUACUCCAAGAAAGGGGUGCGGCUAAGGAGGGGGGGAGGAGUCCUUCCUCCCCAAGGCACCUCGGAGGUGCCUUCCCCCUUUAGGACUCUCCCCUUUUUCCUUUAUCUUGGCGCAUGGGCCUCUAGGGGCUGGUGCCCUUGGCCCAUGUAGGCCAAGGCGCACCCCCUACAGCCCAUGUGGCCCCCGAGGGCAGGUGGCCCCACCCGGUGGGCCCCCGGGACCCUUCCGGUGGUCCCGGUACAAUACCGAUGACCCCGAAACUUGUCCCGAUGGCCGAAACAGGACUUCCUAUAUAUAAAUCUUUACCUCCGGACCAUUCCGGAACUCCUCGUGACGUCCGGGAUCUCAUCCGGGACUCCGAACAACAUUCGGUAACCACAUACAAGCUUCCUUUAUAACCCUAGCGUCAUCGAACCUUAAGUGUGUAGACCCUACGGGUUCGGGAGACAUGCAGACAUGACCGAGAUGUUCUCCGGUCAAUAACCAACAGCGGGAUCUGGAUACCCAUGUUGGCUCCCACAUGUUCCACGAUGAUCUCAUCGGAUGAACCACGAUGUCAAGGACUCAAUCGAUCCCGUAUACAAUUCCCUUUGUCUAGCGGUAUGGUACUUGCCCGAGAUUCGAUCGUCGGUAUACCGAUACCUUGUUCAAUCUCGUUACCGGCAAGUCUCUUUACUCGUUCCGUAACACAUCAUCCCGUGAUCAACCCCUUGGUCACAUUGUGCACAUUAUAAUGAUGUCCUACCGAGUGGGCCCAGAGAUACCUCUCCGUUUACACGGAGUGACAAAAUCCCAAUCUCGAUUCGUGCCAACCCAACAGACACUUUCAGAGAUACACGUAGUGUACCUUUAUAGCCACCCAGUUACGUUGUGACGUUUGGCACACCCAAAGCACUCCUACGGUAUCCGGGAGUUGCACAAUCUCAUGGUCUAAGGAAAUGAUACUUGACAUUAGAAAAGCUUUAGCAUACGAACUACAUGAUCUUGUGCUAGGCUUAGGAUUGGGUCUUGUCCAUCACAUCAUUCUCCUAAUGAUGUGAUCCCGUUAUCAACGACAUCCAAUGUCCAUGGUCAGGAAACCGUAACCAUCUAUUGAUUAACGAGCUAGUCAACUAGAGGCUUACUAGGGACAUGGUGUUGUCUAUGUAUCCACACAUGUAUCUGAGUUUCCUAUCAAUACAAUUCUAGCAUGGAUAAUAAACGAUUAUCAUGGACAAGGAAAUAUAAUAAUAAUCAAUUUAUUAUUGCCUCUAGGGCAUAUUUCCAACAGUCUCCCACUUGCACUAGAGUCAAUAAUCUAGUUCACAUCGAUAUGUGAUUAACACUCAAGGUCACAUCCCCAUGUGACUAACACCCAAAGAGUUUACUAGAGUCAAUAAUCUAGUUCACAUUUACCAUGUGAUUAACACUCGAUGAGUUCUGGGUUUGAUCAUGUUAUGCUUGUGAGAGAGGUUAUAGUCAACGGGUCUGAACCUUUCAGAUCCGUGUGUGCUUUACAAAUCUCUAUGUCAUCUCCUAGAUGCAGCUACCACGUUCUAUUUGGAGCUAUUCCAAAUAACUGUUCUACUUGGAGCUAUUCUAAAUUGUUGCUCCAUUAUACGUAUCCAGUAUCUCUACUCAGAGCUAUCCGGAUAGGUGUUAAGCUUGCAUCGACGUAACCCUUUACGACGAACUCUUUUACCACCUCCAUAAUUGAGAAAAUUCCUUAGUCCACUAGUUACUAAGGAUAACUUUGACCGCUGUCCUGUGAGCCAUUCUUGGAUCACUCUUGUACCCCUUGACUGACUCAUGGCAAGGCACACUUAAGGUGCGGUACACAGGAUAGCAUACUAAAGAGCCUACGUCUUAAGCAUAGGGGACGACCUUCGUCCUUUCUCUCUAUUCUGCCGUGGUCGAGCUUUAAGUCUUAACUUCGUACCUUACAACUCAGGCAAGAACUCCUUCUUUGACUGGUCCAUCUUGAACACCUUCAAGAUCAUGUCAAGGUAUGUGCUCAUUUGAAAGUACUAUUAAGCAUUUUGAUCUAUCCUUAUAGAUCUUUAUGCUCAAUGUUCAAGUAGCUUAAUCCAGGUUUUCCAUUGAAAACACUUUCCAAAUAACCCUAUAUGCUUUCCAGAAAUCCUACGUCAUUUCCGAUCAACAAUAUGUUAACAACAUAUACUCAUCGGAAAUUCUAUAGUGCUCCUACUCACUUCUUUGGAAAUACAAGUUACUCAUAAACUUUGUAUACACCCAAAAUCUUUGAUCAUCAUCAAAGUAUACAUUCGAACUCCGAGAUGCUCACUCCAGUCCUCAGAAGGAUUGCUGGAACUUUGCAUACUUAUUAGCAUCUUUCAGGAUUGACAAAACCUUCCGGUUGUAUCACAUACAACCUUUCCUCAAGUAUAACAUCGAGGAAACAAUGUUUUGACAUCCUAUCUGCAAGAUUUCAUCAAUCAUGCAGUAACUGCUAAUCCAAUUCCAACAGACUCUUAGCAUCGCUACGAGUGAGAAAACCUCACCGUAAUCAACUCCUUGAACUUGUCGGAAAACAUCUUAACGACAAGUCGAGCUUUCUUAAUGGUGACAUUUACCAUCAUUGUCCGUCUUCCUUUUUGAAAUCCAUCUGUACUCAUUAGCCUUACGACCAUCGAGCCGUUCUGCCAAAGUCUACACUUUGUUUUCGUACAUGGAUCCUCUCUCGGAUUUUAUGGCCUCAAGCCAUUUAUCGGAAUCCGGGCCCACCAUCGCUUCUCCAUAGCUCGUAGGUUCAUUGUUGUCUAGCAACAUGACCUUCAAGACAGGAUUACUGUACCACUUUGAAGUAGUACGUAUCCUUGUCACCCUACGAGGUACGGCAGUGAUUUGAUCCGAAACUUCAUGAUCAAUAUCAUAAGCUUCCACUUCAAUUGGUGUAGGUGCCACAUGAACAACUUCCUGUGCCCUGAUACACACUGGUUGAAGUGAUGGUUCAAUAACCAUAUCAAGUCUCCACCAUCCUCCCACUCAACUCUUUCGAGAGAAACUUUUCCUCGAGAAAGGACCCGAUUCUAGAAACAAUCCAUAUUGCUUUCGGAUCUGAAUUAGGAGGUAUACCCAACUGUUUUGGGUUUCCUAUGAAGAUGCAUUUUAUCCGCUUUGGGUUCGAGCUUAUCAACCUGAAACUUUUUCAUAUAAGCGUCGCAGCCCCAAACUUUUAAGAAACGACAACUUAGGUUUCUCUAAACCAUAAUUCAUACGGUGUCAUCUCAUCGGAAUUACGUGGUGCCCUAUUUCAAGUGAAUGUGGUUGUCUUUAAUGCCUAACCCAUAAACUAUCGUGGCAGUUCGAUAAGAGACAUCAUGGUACGCACCAUAUCCAAUAGGGUGCAACUAUGAUGUUCGGACACACCAUCACACUAUGGUGUUCCAGGCUGUAUCAGUUGUGAAACAAUUUCCACAAUGUCUUAAUUCUGUGCCAAACUCGUGAUUCAGAUAUUCAUCUCUAUGAUCAUAUCAUAGAUCUUUUAUCCUCUUGUCAUGACGAUCUUUCAACUUCACACUGAAAUUACCUUUCAAUAAUUCAGACUCGUGAUUCAUCAAGUAAAUAUACUCAACAUCUACUCGAAUCAUCUGUGAAGUAAGAACAUAACGAUAUUCACUGCAUGCCUCAACACUCAUUGGACUGCACACAUCAAAAUGUGUUACUUCCAACAAGUUGCUAUCUUGUUCCAUUUUACUGAAAACGAGGCUUUUCAGUCAUCUUGCCCAUGUGGUAUGAUUUGCAUGUCCCAAGUGAUUCAAAAUCAAGUGAGUCAAAACGGUCCAUUUGCAUGGAGUUUCUUCAUGCAUAUACACCAAUAGACAUGGUUCGCAUGUCUCAAACUUUUCAAAAACGAGUGAGGCCAAAGAUCCAUCAAUGUGGAGCUUCUUCAUGCGUUUUAUACCGAUAUGACUUACGUGGCAGUGCCACAAGUAGGUGGUACUAUCAUUACUAUCUUUUGGCAUGAACAUGUGUAUCACUACGAUCGAGAUUUAAUAAACCAUUCAUUUUAGGUGUAAGACCAUUGAAGGUAUUAUUCAAAUAAACAGAGUAACCAUUAUUCUCCUUAAAUGAAUAACCGUAUUGCGAUAGACGUAAUCCAAUCAUGUCUAUGCUCAACGCAAACACCAAAUAACAAUUAUUUAGGUUUAACACCAAUCUCUUUGGUAGAGAGAGCGUGCGAUGCUUGAUCAUAUCAAGCUUGGAAAAACUUCCAACACAUAUCGUCAGCUCACCUUUAGCUAGUCUCCGUUUAUUCCGUAGCCUUUUGUUUCGAGUUACUAACACUUAGCAACCGAACCGGUAUCUAAUACCCUGGUGCUACUAGGAGUACUAGCAAAGUACACAUUAACACAAUGUAUAUCCAAUAUACUUCUAUCGACCUUGCCAGCCUUCUUAUCUACCAAGUAUCUAGGGUAAUUCUGCUCUAGUGGUUGUUCCCCUUAUUACAGAAGCACUUAGUCUCGGGUUUGGGUUUUACCUUGGGUUUCUUCACUAGAGCAGCAGCUGAUUUGCCAUUUCAUGAAGUAUCCCUUCUUGCCCUUGCCCUUCUUGAAACUAGUGGUUUCACCAACCAUCAACAAUUGAUGCUCCUUCUUGAUUUCUACUUUCAUGGUGUCAAACAUCGCGAGUAUCUCAAGGAUCAUCAUAUAUGUCCCUGAUAUAUUAUAGUUCAUCACGAAGCUCUAGCAGCUUGGUGGUAAUGACUUCGGAGAACCAUCACUGUCUUAUCUGGAAGAUCAACUCCCACUCGAUUCAAGCGAUUGUUGUACUCAGACAAUCUGAGCACAAGCUCAACAAUUGAGCUUUUCUCCUUAGUUUGCAGGUUAAGAAAGUCAUCGGAGGUCUUAUACCUCUUGACAUGGGCACGAGCCUGAAAUCCCAAUUUCACCCUCAAAACAUCUCAUAUGUUUUGCGAUGUUUCAAAAACGUCUUUGGUGCCUCAACUCUAAACCGUUUAACUGAACUAUCACGUAGUUAUCAAAACGUGUAUGUCAGAUGUUCGCAACAACCACAGACAACGUUCGAGGUUCAGCACACUGAGCGGUGCAUUAAGGACAUAAGCCUUCUAUGAAGCAAUGAGGACAAUCCUCAGUUUACGGACCUAGUCUGCAUAAUUGCUACUAUCAACUUUCAACUAAUUUUUUUCUCUAGGAACAUAUCUAAACAGUAGAACUAUAGCGUGAGCUACGACAUAAUUUGCAAAAACCUUUUGACUAUGUUCAGGAUAAUUAAGUUCAUCUUAUGAACUCCCACUCAGAUAGACAUCCCUCUAGUCAUCUAAGUGAUUACAUGAUCCAAGUCAAACUAGGCCGUGUCCGAUCAUCACGUGAGACGGACUAGUCAUCAUCGGUGAACAUCUUCAUGUUGAUCGUAUCUUCUAUACGACUCAUGCUCGACCUUUCGGUCUCCGUGUUCCGAGGCCAUGUCUGUACAUGCUAGGCUCGUCAAGUUAACCCUAAGUGUUUCGCGUGUGUUCCGAGGCCAUGUCUGUACAUGCUAGGCUCGUCAACACCCGUUGUAUUUGAACGUCUGAAUAAAACACCCGAUCAUCACGUGAUGUUUUGAAACAGCGAACUGUCGCAACGGUGCACAGUUAGGGGAGAACACUUCUUGAAAUUGUUGUAAGGGAUCAUCUUAUUUACUACCGUCGUUCUAAGCAAAUAAGAUGCAUAAACAUGAUAAACAUCACAUGCAAUCAAAUAGUGACAUGAUAUGGCCAUCAUCACUUUGCUCCUUUUGAUCUCCAUCUUCGGGGCUCCAUGAUCAUCAUCGUCACCGGCAUGACACCAUGAUCUCCAUCAUCAUGAUCUCCAUCAUCGUGUCUUCAUGAAGUUGCCUCGCCAACUAUUACUUCUACUACUAUGGCUAACGGUUAGCAAUAAAGUAAAGUAAUUACAUGACGUUUUAAGUUGACACGCAGGUCACAAAUAAAUAAAGACAACUCCUAUGGCUCCUGCCGGUUGUCAUACUCAUCGACAUGCAAGUCGUGAUUCCUAUUACAAGAACAUGAUCAAUCUCAUACAUCACAUAUAUCAUUCAUCACAUCCUUUUUGGCCAUAUCACAUCACAUAGCAUAUCCUGCAAAAACAAGUUAGACGUCCUCUAAUUGUUGUUUGCAUGUUUUACGUGGCUGCUAUGGGUUUCUAGCAAGAACGUUUCUUACCUACGCAUGAACCACAACGUGAUAUGCCAAUUGCUAUUUACCCUUCAUAAGGACCCUUUUCAUCGAAUCCGAUCCGACUAAAGUGGGAGAGACAGACACCCGCCAGCCACCUUAUGCAACUAGUGCAUGUUUGUCGGUGGAACCGGUCUCACGUAAGCGUACGUGUAAGGUUGGUCCGGGCCGCUUCAUCCCACGAUGCCGCCGAAUCAAGAUAAGACUAGUAACGGCAAGCAUAUUGAACAAUAUCGACGCCCACAACUACUUUGUGUUCUACUCGUGCAAAGAAUCUACGCAAUAGACCUAGCUCAUGAUGCCACUGUUGGGGAACGUAGCAGAAAUUCAAAAUUUUCCUACGUAACACCAAGAUCUAUCUAUGGAGAGACCAGCAACGAGUAGAAAGAAGAGUGCAUCUACAUACCCUUGUAGAUCGCUAAGCGGAAGCGUUCAAGUGAACGGGGUUGAUGGAGUCGUACUCGUCGUGAUUCAGAUCACCGAUGAUCCUAGUGCCGAACGGACGGCACCUCCGCGUUCAUCACACGUACAGCUCGACGAUGUCUCCCACGCCUUGAUCCAGCAAGGAGAGAGGGAGAGGUUGAGGAAGACUCCAUCCAGCAGCAGCACAACGGCGUGGUGGUGAUGGAGGAGCGUGGCAAUCCUGCAGGGCUUCGCCAAGCACCUACGGGAGAGGAGGAGGUGUCACGGGAGGGAGGGAGGCGCCAAGGGCUCAGGUAUGGAUGCCCUCCCUCCCCUCCACUAUAUAUAGGGGCAGGGGAGAGGGGGGAGGCGCAGCCUUGCCCCCUACUCCAAGAAAGGGGUGCGGCUAAGGAGGGGGGGAGGAGUCCUUCCUCCCCAAGGCACCUCGGAGGUGCCUUCCCCCUUUAGGACUCUCCCCUUUUUCCUUUAUCUUGGCGCAUGGGCCUCUAGGGGCUGGUACCCUUGGCCCAUGUAGGCCAAGGCGCACCCCCUACAGCCCAUGUGGCCCCCGAGGGCAGGUGGCCCCACCCGGUGGGCCCCCGGGACCCUUCCGGUGGUCCCGGUACAAUACCGAUGACCCCGAAACUUGUCCCGAUGGCCGAAACAGGACUUCCUAUAUAUAAAUCUUUACCUCCGGACCAUUCCGGAACUCCUCGUGACGUCCGGGAUCUCAUCCGGGACUCCGAACAACAUUCGGUAACCACAUACAAGCUUCCUUUAUAACCCUAGCGUCAUCGAACCUUAAGUGUGUAGACCCUACGGGUUCGGGAGACAUGCAGACAUGACCGAGAUGUUCUCCGGUCAAUAACCAACAGCGGGAUCUGGAUACCCAUGUUGGCUCCCACAUGUUCCACGAUGAUCUCAUCGGAUGAACCACGAUGUCAAGGACUCAAUCGAUCCCGUAUACAAUUCCCUUUGUCUAGCGGUAUGGUACUUGCCCGAGAUUCGAUCGUCGGUAUACCGAUACCUUGUUCAAUCUCGUUACCGGCAAGUCUCUUUACUCGUUCCGUAACACAUCAUCCCGUGAUCAACCCCUUGGUCACAUUGUGCACAUUAUGAUGAUGUCCUACCGAGUGGGCCCAGAGAUACCUCUCCGUUUACACGGAGUGACAAAAUCCCAAUCUCGAUUCGUGCCAACCCAACAGACACUUUCAGAGAUACACGUAGUGUACCUUUAUAGCCACCCAGUUACGUUGUGACGUUUGGCACACCCAAAGCACUCCUACGGUAUCCGGGAGUUGCACAAUCUCAUGGUCUAAGGAAAUGAUACUUGACAUUAGAAAAGCUUUAGCAUACGAACUACAUGAUCUUGUGCUAGGCUUAGGAUUGGGUCUUGUCCAUCACAUCAUUCUCCUAAUGAUGUGAUCCCGUUAUCAACGACAUCCAAUGUCCAUGGUCAGGAAACCGUAACCAUCUAUUGAUUAACGAGCUAGUCAACUAGAGGCUUACUAGGGACAUGGUGUUGUCUAUGUAUCCACACAUGUAUCUGAGUUUCCUAUCAAUACAAUUCUAGCAUGGAUAAUAAACGAUUAUCAUGAACAAGGAAAUAUAAUAAUAAUCAAUUUAUUAUUGCCUCUAGGUCAUAUUUCCAACAGUCUCCCACUUGCACUAGAGUCAAUAAUCUAGUUCACAUCGAUAUGUGAUUAACACUCAAGGUCACAUCCCCAUGUGACUAACACCCAAAGAGUUUACUAGAGUCAAUAAUCUAGUUCACAUUUACCAUGUGAUUAACACUCGAUGAGUUCUGGGUUUGAUCAUGUUAUGCUUGUGAGAGAGGUUAUAGUCAACGGGUCUGAACCUUUCAGAUCCGUGUGUGCUUUACAAAUCUCUAUGUCAUCUCCUAGAUGCAGCUACCACGUUCUAUCUGGAGCUAUUCCAAAUAACUGUUCUACUUGGAGCUAUUCUAAAUUGUUGCUCCAUUAUACGUAUCCGGUAUCUCUACUCAGAGCUAUCCGGAUAGGUGUUAAGCUUGCAUCGACGUAACCCUUUACGACGAACUCUUUUACCACCUCCAUAAUUGAGAAAAUUCCUUAGUCCACUAGUUACUAAGGAUAACUUUGACCGCUGUCCUGUGAUCCAUUCUUGGAUCACUCUUGUACCCCUUGACUGACUCAUGGUAAAGCACACUUCAGGUGCGGUACACAGCAUAGCAUACUGUAGAGCCUAUGUCUUAAGCAUAGGGGACGACCUUCGUUCCUUUCUCUCUAUUCUGCCAUGGUCGAGCUUUAAGUCUUAACUUCAUACCUUACAACUCAGGCAAGAACUCCUUCUUUGACUGAUCCAUCUUGAACACCUUCAAGAUCACGUCAAGGCAUGUGCUCACGUCAAGAUCACGUCGGUAUACCGAUACCUUGUUCAAUCUCGUUACCGGCAAGUCUCUUUACUCGUUCCGUAACACAUCAUCCCGUGAUCAACCCCUUGGUCACAUUGUGCACAUUAUGAUGAUGUCCUACCGAGUGGGCCCAGAGAUACCUCUCCGUUUACACGGAGUGACAAAAUCCCAAUCUCGAUUCGUGCCAACCCAACAGACACUUUCAGAGAUACCCGUAGUGUACCUUUAUAGCCACCCAGUUACGUUGUGACGUUUGGCACACCCAAAGCACUCCUACGGUAUCCGGGAGUUGCACAAUCUCAUGGUCUAAGGAAAUGAUACUUGACAUUAGAAAAGCUUUAGCAUACGAACUACAUGAUCUUGUGCUAGGCUUAGGAUUGGGUCUUGUCCAUCACAUCAUUCUCCUAAUGAUGUGAUCCCGUUAUCAACGACAUCCAAUGUCCAUGGUCAGGAAACCGUAACCAUCUAUUGAUUAACGAGCUAGUCAACUAGAGGCUUACUAGGGACAUGGUGUUGUCUAUGUAUCCACACAUGUAUCUGAGUUUCCUAUCAAUACAAUUCUAGCAUGGAUAAUAAACGAUUAUCAUGAACAAGGAAAUAUAAUAAUAAUCAAUUUAUUAUUGCCUCUAGGGCAUAUUUCCAACAACUACCUGGCCGCUGUGCCGGGUUGUGCGACGAGCUUCGUGUUAUUGGGUCUUCAUAAGAAAUUUAGGAUCCAAAUAAGCAAGAGGAUGAGAAAAUUUAACUUUCCGGUUUGCCUGACGGAUUUUUUGUGAAGGCAAAGGUUCUGAAUCGGAAGAGAGAAUAAUUACCUUUGCAGCAUCCGCGUGGCUGGCUUCGGCAUCAUCCUGACAAAUAUCAUCAUCAAUAAGACGCAUCAAAAAUAAACCAAGUGAGUCAAGCUCUACCUCAAGGUCCGGAUUAUCCACAUCAUCAUCAGGGGCCGGAUUAGAAGAUGUUGUGGUUCUUUUCCUGUGGGCAGUCUUCUUCACAGCUUUAGUCUUUUGCCGAGUUGCUCUUUCCGGUUUGUCUGGUUUUUCUGGUUUCUCCUGCGGCAGUUUCUUGCUCUAAAACAGAUCAUUGCCCUGAUUACACGGACACUGAUAUUAAACAAUGACCAGACAUAUCGAUAACAGAUUCAGCAAAGAGAAAAUCAAAUUCUUACAGCUGGCGGUUUGUUGGUGGCACAGAAGGGAAGCAGGCCGGUUCUAGCGCAGACGUAUUCCGGUUCAUUCAGCAUCUUAUUCACAGCCUCUGUGAUCUCUUCAUCGGAGAGCUGGAUUUUAGAAUGUCGCAGUGGGUCAUCAACAUUGUCAGUAUACUCGCACAUCAAACCGGAGCGCUGACUAAGGGGCAGUAUGCUCCAUGAUAUCCAACAGUGAGCGAGAUCAACCCCUGUUAAACCGUUGGCCAUAAAGGCUCUGAGCUUUGACAGUUGAGGAGCAUAUUUGCUUCUCUCCUGGGCAGUCAAUCUUUGAGGAAAAGGGUGUGUAUUGCUGAGCCGCUCCGAACGAAAGCCAGGCAAGGGAUUCUCACCAGCAGGGGAGGUGUCUUUGCAGUAGAACCAUGUCCGAUUCCAUUCUUUGGGGUGGUUGUGCAGCUUGGCGUGAGGGUAUGUGACCUCUUUCCUUUUCUGAAUCGCCACGCCACCCAACUCCGUAUUAGAGACAUCAGUAAACUCAGUACGGCGGUUUAGAUGGAAAAGGUCUCUGAACAAUUCCACUGUGGGCUCCUCUUGAAAGAACACCUCACACAGCACUUGGAAGUGACACAUAUUCGUAACAGAGUUGGGGCCAGUGUCUUGUGGAUGGAGAUGGAAAUCGGCUAAAACAUCCCGGUAAAAUUUAGAACCAGGCGGCUUAAAGCCCCGGGCUAAGUGAUCUACAAAAACAACAACCUCUCCUUCUCGAGGUGUGGGAGGGCAUUCUUUGCCAGGAGCCCUCGAAUGGAUGGUAUCUUUGCUGCCUAAAGCGCCAAUCAGGACUAGAUCGUCCAGUUGAGCCUCUGUGACGCGAGAAGGAACCCAAUUGCACUCAUAUACUUGCUUGGCCAUGAGGAAAUCUACAAGGUAGAAGAUCCCGGUUCAAAAAUGCAUUGAUCAAGGUACAUUGGUAUGCGCAAUGUCAAACCGGAGACAUAUCUAUCUAAAACAGAGUUUAUAAAACAACAACAUCUGGCGGUUCAACUAGGGGCUAAUGAUAUAUACCGGUUUGGCAAUUUAUUCUACAAGGUUAAACCGCCUGAUCUAAGCAUGGAGACAGUUGAGAUGGCGGAUGGAUAAGUGUGCAGAAACAGAUUUCACACGAUUUCUCUACAGCGUUGGAUCUGAAGCAAGUUCAGAAAAUAAGAAAAAUAUUCAAAAGCUCAAGGUAGAACAACAUUGAAUCAAUGGGCAGAAACAUAUGUGAGAUCUAUGUUCUAUGGCAUGAAACUAAAAACGGAUACUAACAGCUACCGUUAUACAGAACAGGGGUUCACAAAUGCAUCCAGGGUUAGUGUAUGAACACGAACAGGUGAUGAACACUGCAAGAACAUGAAACCCUAGAACAGAUCUGUGGGGGAAAGGAUAGAAGGUUUACCGGGGCUAAGGAAGAUGCGGAAGGUUGCUGUGAUGCUCUGGUGCGACCAGGUGGAUGCAGCGGCCAAGGUUGAGGCAGAGGUCGACGGUGGCGGCAGAGCUCUGAAGCCGGGCGAGGCGAGGAAGACGAAGCAGAAGGGGAAGAAGGGAAAAAGGAAAUGACCCUUCGGUCCUAUUUAUAAGGCAAAGGGUAUGGUCAGGCGCGGCAAUUAAGGGGCUACGGAACGGAGCCGUCGCCUCAAUUUCCGCAUAUCUAUUAAACAAAGAAGCAUAAUGGAUAUCUUCGUUAUGACAGGUGACGUCACUCCGGUUUACAGCAAUCCGAGAAGAUGACAUCAUGGCGGUUCACCAAUUUAUGAGAAGAUGUUGAAGAUGAAGCCUUGGAUAAAGGAUUGACAUGAACCUGUUCAAAUCAAUCUAGGGCCUAAUGUUGGGGAUAUUACUGCUGGGCAUCAACCGGCCUAUCUGGGCCGGGUCAACUUCAUCAGUAGUUCCAGAGUGAUAAAGCCCAAGAAGGCAGAUGAGGGCCUAAGGCCCGUAGCCAGUUCAAGACUUGUAGCUGUAAACCGGGAAUCAUAUAUAAGCUUGUAUUAUAAGUUAGGAAUAAGGAGAGACCAGCCCGGAUACGAAUAUCGACCGGUGUUGGGACUCUGUGAACCGACGGGUGUCACCCGUGUAUAUAAGGGGACGACCCGGCGGCGGGUUAAGGACAGACAACAACUCGAGACAUAGGCGAAGCUUGUUUGCUCCUUAGUCAUUGAAACCCCAUCAAUUCCAUCACAACUAGACAUAGGCUUUUACCUUCAUUGAACGGGCCGAACUAGUAUAAACUCUCUUGCGUCCCUGUGUCCGCUUUAACCCCUUCAAGCUAACCCGUCGCGAUGGCUCCACGACUAAGUCCUUUCUCUAGGACAUCUGCCGUGACAAAACCAUGACAAGGAUCAUAUUUCAUUCUAGCAUUCAGUGUUUUUUUGUUUCAGCUUAGCUAAUAAUUUCUUAAGAUCACUCCUAUCAUUACAAGCAAUAAAAUCUCUAGCAGUUUCUUCAUCCAUAACAUAGCCCUCAGGCACAACAGGUAAUUCAUAUCUCGGGGGAGAAUCUUCAUCAUCACUUUCAUCAAUAUUAUCAGUUUCAAUAAUUUCAUUCUCUCUAGCCCUAGCAAGUUGUUCAGCAAGAAAUUCACCAAGUGGCAUAGUAGUGUCAAGCAUAGAAAUAGUUUUAUCAUAAGUAUCAUGCAUAGCAGAAGUGGCAUCAUCAAUAACAUGCGACAUAUCAGAAUUAAUAGCAGAAGCAGGUUUAGGUGUCGCAAGCUUACUCAAAACAGAAGGUGAAACAAGUGCAGAGCAAGAUGGCAGUUCCUUACCUCCCCUCAUAGUUGAGGGAUAAAUCUUGGUUCUUGGAUCUUUCAAGUUCUUCAUAAUGAUAAGCAGAUAUAAAUCCCAAGUGACUCAAAGAAUAGAGCUAUGCUCCCCGGCAACGGCGCCAAAAAAUAGUCUUGAUAACCCACAAGUAUAGGGUAUCGCAACAGUUUUCGAGGGUAGAGUAUUCAACCCAAAUUUAUUGAUUCGACACAAGGGAAGCCAAAGAAUAUUCUCAAGUAUUAGCAGCUGAGUUGUUAAUUCAACCACACCUGGAAACUUAGUAUCUGCAGAAAAGUGUUUAGUAGCAAAGUAAUAUGAUAGUAGUGGUAACGGUAGUAAAAGGUAACGGUAGCAAAAGUAAUAUUUUUGGUGUUUUGUAGUGAUGAUAACAAUAGCAACGGAAAAGUAAAUAAGCGAAGAACAAUAUAUGUAAAGCUCGUAGGCAAUGGAUUGGUGAUAGAGAAUUAUGCCGGAUGAGGUCAUCAUGUAACACUCAUAACCUAGGGUGACACAGAACUAUCUCCAGUUCAUCAAUGUAAUGUAGGCAUGUAUUCCGAAUAUAGUCAUACGUGCUUAUGGAAAAGAACUUGCAUGACAUCUUUUGUCCUACCCUCCCAUGGCAGCGGGUCCUAUUGGAAACUAAGGGAUAUUAAGGCCUCCUUUUAAUAGAGUACCGGACCAAAGCAUUAACACAUAGUGAAUACAUGAACUCCUCAAAAUACGGUCAUCACCGGUAAGUAUCCCGAUUAUUGUCACUUCGGGGUUAACGGAUCAUAACAUAUAAUAGGUGACUAUAGACUUGCAAGAUAGGAUCAAGAACUCUCAUAUAUUGAUGAAAACAUAAUAGGUUCAGAUUUGAAGUCAUGGCACUCGGGCACUAGUGACAAGCAUUAAGCAUAGCAAAGUCAUAGCAACAUCAAUCUCUGAACAUAGUGGAUACUAGGGAUCAAACCCUAACAAAACUAACUUGAUUACAUGAUAAAUCUCAUCAAACUCAUCACCAUCCAGGAAGCCUAUGAUGGAAUUACUCACGCACGGCGAUGAGCAUCAUGAAAUUGGUGAUGGAGGAUGGUUGAUGAUGACGAUGGUGACGGAUUCCCCUCUCCGGAGCCCCGAACGGACUCCAAAUCAGCCCUCCCGAGAGAGUUUAGGGCUUGGCGGCAGCUCCGUAUCGUAAAACACGAUGAAUCCUUCUCCUUGGUUUUUUUCUCCCCGAAAGUGAUUAUAUGGAGUCAGGGUUGAGAUCGGUGGAGCGUCAGGGGGCCCACGAGGCAGGGGGCGCGCCAAGGGGGUAGGGCGCGCCCCCCACCCUCAUGGACAGGUGGAGCCCCCUGAUGUGGAUCUUCCUUCCAGUAUUUUUUAUAUAUUCCAAAAUAAUUCUCCGUUGAUUUUUAGGUCAUUCCGAGAACUUUUACUUCUGCACAAAAAUAACGCCAUGGCAAUUCUGCUGAAAACAACGUCAAUCCGGGUUAGUUCCAUUCAAAUCAUGCAAGUUAGAGUCCUAAACAAGGGCAAAAGUGUUUGGAAAAGUAGAUACGACGGAGAUGUAUCAAGGUGUUAUACCUCACUCCUUACCUUCAUUGAGAUCCCAAUCUUCAGAGUUGCGUUUAAUUCUCUCCAAUAAAUUACAUUUAAAUUCAAUAGUCUUCAACAUAAAGGAACCAAUACAAGAAGUAUCGAGCAUGGAGCGAUUAUUGUCAGAAAGCCGAUCAUAAAAUUUUUGAAUAAUCAUUUCUCUUGAGAGCUCCUGAUUGGGGCAUGAAUAUAACAUUGACUUAAGCCUACCCCAAGCUUGAGCGAUGCUUUAUCCUUCGCGAGGCCAGAAACUAUAUAUAUAAUUACGAUCACGACGAACAAGAUGCAUAGGAUAAAACUUCUAGUGAAAUUCCAAUUUCAAUCGCUUAUAGUCCCAUGAUCCCAUAUCAUCACAUAGCCUAUACCAUGUCAAUGCAUCUCCCUUCAAAGAUAAAGGGAAGACCUUCUUCUUGAUAACAUCAUCGAGCAUACCUGCUGAUACGUCUCCAACGUAUCUAUAAUUUUUUAUUGUUCCAUGCUGUUAUAUUAUCAACCUUGGAUGUUUUAUAUGCAUUUAUAUGAUUUUUGGGACUAACCUAUUAACCUAGAGCCCAGUGCCAGUUUCUGUUUUUUCCUUGUUUUAGAGUAUCGCAGAAAAGGAAAAUCAAACGGAGUCCAAUUGACCUGAAACUUCACGGAACUUAUUUUUGGACCAGAAGAAGCCCACGGAGUAUCGGAGAUGGACCAGAAGAGUCCCGGGCUGCCCACGAGGGUGGGGGGCACGCCCCCUGCCUCGUGGACAGCCCGAAGAUCCACCGACGUACUCCUUCCUCCUAUAUAUACCCAUAUACCCUAAAAACUUCGAGGAACAGAAUAGAUCGGGAGUUCCGCCGCCAGAAGCCUCCGUAGCCACCGGAAAUCAAUCUAAACCCGUUUCGCCACCCUGCCGGAGGGGGAAUCCCUCUUCGGUGGCCAUCUUCAUCAUCUCGACGCUCUCCAUGACAAGGAUGGAGUAGUUCUCCCUCGGGGCUGAGGGUAUGUACCAGUAGCUAUGUGUUUGAUCUCUCUCUCUCGUGUUCUUGAGGUGGUACAAUCUUGAUGUACCGCGGGCUUUGCUAUUAUAGUUGGAUCUUAUGAUGUUUCUCCCCCCUCUACUCUCUUGUAAUGGAUUGAGUUUUCCCUUUGAAGUUAUCUUAUCGGAUUGAGUCUUUAAGGAUUUGAGAACACUUGAUGUAUGUAUUGCAUGGGAUACCCGUGAUGACAAUGGGGUAUUCUAUUGACCCACUUGAUUUAUGUUUUGGUGAUCAACUUGCGGGUUCUGUGACCUUAGGGAUCUAUGCAAAGGGGUUGGCACACGUUUUCGUCUUGACUCUCCUGCAGAAACUUUGGGGCACUCUUUGAAGUACUUUUGUGUUGGUUGAAUAGAUGAAUCUGAGAUUGUGUGAUACAUAUCGUAUAAUCAUACCCACGGAUAAUUGAGGUGACAUUGGAGUAUCUAGGUGACAUUAGGGUUUUGGUUGAUUUGUGUCUUAAGGUGUUAUUCUAGUACGAACUCUAGGAUAGAUUGAAUGGAAAGAAUAGCUUCAUGUUAUUUUACUAUGGACUCUUGAAUAGAUCGAUCAGAAAGGAUAACUUUGAGGUGGUUUCGUACCCUACCAUAAUUUCUUCGUUUGUUCUCCGCUAUUAGUGACUUUGGAGUGACUCUUUGUUGCAUGUUGAGGGAUAGUUAUAUGAUCCAAUUAUGUUAUUAUUGUUGAGAGAACUUGCACUAGUGAAAGUAUGAACCCUAGGCCUUGUUUCAACGCAUUGCAAUACCGUUUACGCUCACUUUUAUCAUUAGUUACCUUGCUGUUUUUAUAUUUUCAGAUUACAAAAACCUAUAUCCACCAUCCAUAUUGCACUUGUAUCACCAUCUCUUCACCGAGCUAGUGCACCUAUACAAUUUACCAUUGUAUUGGGUGUAUUGGGGACACAAGAGAUUCUUUGUUAUUUGGUUGCAGGGUUGCUUGAGAGAGACCAUCUUCAUCCUAUGCCUCCCACGGAUUGAUAAACCUUAGGUCAUCCACUUGAGGAAAAUUUGCUACUAUCCAACAAACCUCUGCACUUGGAGGCCCAACAACGUCUACAAGAAGAAGGUUGUGUAGUAGACAACAAGCUCUUUUCUGGCGCCGUUGCCGGGGAGGUUAGCGCUUGAAGGUAUAUCUUUAGAUCUUGCACUAGUUUAGUUUAUAAAAGAAAACUAAAAAAUAUGGAAUUGAGUUUGCCUCAUACGCUUCAUCUUUUUAAUAUCUUUCGUCAGUAUGAUGGAAAGGAAAAUUGUGCCAAAGUGUUAGAAGAAGAAUGCAUGAAAAUGUUUGGCACUCAAUCUUUGAAUGAUGAGCAUGAUUGCAAUGUUGUUAGUAUGAAUUCCUUGAAUAUCUAUGAUGCUAAUGAUAUGCGAAGCCACAAGCUUGGGGAUGCUAUGUUUGAUGAAUAUGAUAUUUUUAGUCCCCCAAGUUUUGAUGUGCAAAUUUAUUAUGAUGAUAGAAUGCCUCCUAUUUAUGAUGAUUAUGUUGAUGAAAGUGGUUUCGGAGAGGUCAUGAAUUUAUUUGGUAAUGAUUCCACUAUUCCAGAAGAGGUUCCAAUUGAUUAUGAGAACAAAGUUGCUAUCUAUGAUGAUUAUUGUGAUGACUUUUAUUCUAUAAAGAAUAAUAAUAUCCAUGAAACUUUUCAUCAUGAUUUUAGUUUUCAAUUGGAUUAUGCCUCACAUGAUAAUUAUUUUGUUGAGUUUGCUCCCACUAUUAUUCAUGAGAAGAAUUUUGCUUAUGUGCAGAGUAAUAAAAUUUCUAUGCUUGUAGAUCAUGAAAAGAAUGCUUUAGGUGCUGGUUAUAUUGUUGAAUUCAUUCAUGAUGCUACUGAAAAUUAUUAUGAGGGAGGAAUAUAUGCUUGUGGGAAUUGCAAUAAUAUCAAGUUUCCUCCCUAUGUGCUUAAAAUCUUGAAGUUAUGCUUGUUUCGCUUUCCUAUGCUAGUUGAUUAUUGUUCCCAUAAAUUGUUUGCUCACAAAAUCCCUAUGCAUAGGAAGUGUGUUAGGAUUAAAUGUGCUAGUUAUAUUCUUCAUGAUGCUCUCUUUAUGUUUCAAUUCUUAUCUUUUAUGUGAGCAUCAUUGAAAUCAUCAUGCCUAGCUAGGGGCGUUAAACGAUAGCGCUUGUUGGGAGGCAACCCAAUUUUAUUUUAGCUCCUUGCUUUUUGUUCCUGUUUAGUAAUAAAUAAUUUAUCUAGACUUUGUUAUGAUUGAGUUUUUAUGUUUUAAUUAGUGUUUGUGCCAAGUAGAACCUUUGGGAAGACUUGGGGAAAGUCUUUGCGAUCUUGCUGUAAAAAACAGAAACUUUAGCGCUCACGAGAAUUGCUGACAUUUUUUAUUGAAGAGUAAUAUUUAGUUAAUUAUUUUUGUAGAUGAUUAAUAGAUAAAUUCCUCACGUCCAGCAAUUUAUUUGAGAAUUUUAUGAGUUCCAUAAGAAUACGUUUGAUCCAGAUUACUACAGACUGUUCUGUUUUUGACAGAUUCUGUUUUUCGUGUGUUGUUUGCUUAUUUUUAUGAAUCUAUGGCUAGUAAUAGAGUUUAUGAACCAUAGAAAAUUUGGAAUACAGUAGGUUUAACACAAAUAUAAAUAAAGAAUGAGUUCAUUACAGUACCUUGAAGUGGUGAUUUAUUUUCUUAUACUAACGGAGCUUACGAGUUUUCUGUUAAGUUUUGUGUUGUGAAGUUUUCAUGUUUUGGGUGAAGAUUCGAUGGACUAUGGAAUAAUGAGUGGCAAGAGCCUAAGCUUGGGGAUGUCCAAGGCACCCCAAGGUAAUAUUCAAGGACAACCAAGAGCCUAAGCUUGGGGAUGCCCCGGAUGGCAUCCCCUCUUUCGUCUUCGUUCAUCGGUAACUUUACUUGGAGGUAUAUUUUUAUUUACCACAUGAUAUGUGUUUUUCUUGGAGCGUCAUUUUAUUUUAUUUAGUUUUGCUUUUUGUUUGAAUAAAAUACCAAGAUGUGAAAUUUUUAAAUGUUAGAGAGUCUUCACAUAGUUGCAUAAUUAUUUGACUACUCAUUGAUCUUCACUUAUAUCCUUCGGAGUAGUUUGUUGUUGCUCUAGUGCUUCACUUAUAUCUUUUUAGAGCACAGUGGUGGUUUUAUUUUAUAGAAAUAGAUGAACUUUCAUGCAUCACUUAUAUUAUUUUGAGAGUCCUAAACAGCAUGGUAAUUUGCUUUGGUAAUGAAUUUAGUCCUAAUAUGAUGGGCAUCCAAGAGGGAUAUAAUAAAAACUUUCAUACGAAGUGCAUUGAAUACUAAGAGAAGUUAGAUACUUGAUUAUUGUUUUGAGAUAUGGAGAUAGUGAUAUUAGAGUCAUGCUAGUUGAGUAGUUGUGAAUUUGAGAGAUACUUGUGUUAAAGUUUGUGAUUCUCGUAGCAUGCACGUAUGAUGAACCGUUAUGUGACGAAGUCGGAGCAUGAUUUAUUUAUUGACUGUCUUCCUUAUGAGUGGCGGUCGGGGACGAGCGAUGGUAUUUUCCUACCAAUCUAUCCCCCUAGGAGCAUGUGCGUAGUACUUUGUUUCGAUAACUUAUAGAUUUUUGCAAUAAGUAUGUGAGUUCUUUAUGACUAAUGUUGAGUCCAUGGAUUAUACGCACUCUCACCCUUCCACCAUUGCUAGCCUCUCUAAUACUGCGCACCUUUCGCCGGUACCUUAAACCCACCAUAUACCUUCCUCAAAACAGCCACCAUACCUACCUAUUAUGGCAUUUCCAUAGUCAUUCCUAGAUAUAUUGCCAUGCAACUCUCCACCGUUCCGUUUAUUAUUACACGCUCCAUCAUUGUCAUAUUGCUAUGCAUGAUCAUGUAGUUGACAUUUUAUUUGUGGCAAAGCCACCGUUCAUAAUUCUUUCAUACAUGUCACUCAUGAGUCAUUGCACAUCCCGGUACACCGCUUAAGGCAUUCAUAUAGAGUCAUAUUUUGUUCUAAGAAUCGAGUUGUAAUUCUUGAGUUGUGAGUAAAUAAAAGUGUGAUGAUCAUUAUUAUUAGAGCAUUGUCCCAGUGAGGAAAGGAUGAUGGAGACUAUGAUUCCCCCACAAGUCAGGAUGAGACUCCGGACGAAAAUAAAUAAAUAAAUAAAAGAGGCCAAAGAAGCCCAAAUAAAAAAAAGAAGAGAAAAGAGGCCAUAAAAAAGAGAAGGCCCAAAUAAAAAAAUAAAAAAUAAUAAAAAAUGAGAGAAAAAGAGAGAAGGGGCAAUGCUACUAUCCUUCUACCACACUUGUGCUUCAAAGUAGCACCAUGAUCUUCAUGAUAGAGAGUCUCCUAUGUUGUCACUUUCAUAUACUAGUGGGAAUCUUUCAUUAUAGAACUUGGCUUGUAUAUUCCAAUGAUGGGCUUCCUCAAAAUGCCCUAGGUCUUCGUGAGAAAGUGAGUUGGAUGCACACCCACUUAGUUUCUUUUUGAGCUUUCAUACAUUUAUAGCUCUAGUGCAUCUGUUGCAUGGCAAUCCCUACUCACUCACAUUGAUAUCUAUUGAUGGGCAUCUCCAUAGCACGUUGAUACACCUAGUUGAUGUGGGAGUAUCUUCUCCUUUUUCUCUUCUCCACAACCACCCUUCUAUUCCACAUAUAGUGCUAUAUCCAUGGCUCACGCUCAUGUAUUGCGUGAAGAUUGAAAAAGUUUGAAACAUCAAAAUUAUGAAACAAUUUCUUGGCUUGUCAUCGGGGUUGUGCAUGAUUUAAAUACGUUGUGUAGUGAAGAUGGAGCAUAGCCAGACUAUAUGAUUUUGUAGGGAUAACUUUCUGUGGCCAUGUUAUUUUGAGAAGACAUGAUUGCUUUGUUAGUAUGCUUGAAGUAUUAUUAUUUUUAUGUCAAUAUUAAACUUUUGUAUUGAAUCUUAUGGAUAUGAAUAUUCUUGCCACAAUAAAGAGAAUUACAUGGACAAAUAUGUUAGGUAGCAUUCCACAUCAAAAAUUCUGUUUUUAUCAUUUACCUCCUCGAGGACGAGUAGGAAUUAAGCUUGGGGAUGCUAAUACAUCUCCAACAUAUCUAUAAUUUUUUAUUGUUCCAUGCUAUUAUAUUAUCAACCUUGGAUGUUUUAUAUGCAUUUAUAUGCUAUUUUAUAUGAUUUUUGGGACUAACCUAUUAACCUAGAGCCCAGUGCCAGUUUCUGUUUUUUCCUUGUUUUAGAGUAUCGCAGAAAAGGAAAAUCAAACGGAGUCCAAUUGACCUGAAACUUCCCGGAACUUAUUUUUGGACCAGAAGAAGCCCACGGAGUAUCGGAGAUGGACCAGAAGAGUCCCGGGCUGCCCACGAGGGUGGGGGCGCGCCCACCCCCCCUGGGCGUGCCCCUUGCCUCAUGGACAGCCCGGAGAUCCACCAACGUACUUCUUCCUCCUAUAUAUACCCAUAUACCCUAAAAACUUCGAGGAAUAGAAUAGAUCGGGAGUUCCGCCGCCAGAAGCCUCCGUAGCCACCGAAAACCAAUCUAGACUCGUUCCAGCACCCUGCCUGAGGGGGAAUCCCUCUCCGGUGGCCAUCUUCAUCAUCCCGGCGCUCUCCAUGACAAGGAGGGAGUAGUUCUCCCUCGGGGCUGAGGGUAUGUACCAGUAGCUAUGAUCUCUCUCUCUUGUGUUCCUGAGGUGGUACUAUCUUGAUGUAUCAUGAGCUUUGCUAUUAUAGUUGGAUCUUAUGAUGUUUCUCCCCCCUCUACUCUCUUGUAAUGGAUUGAGUUUUCCCUUUGAAGUUAUCUUAUCGGAUUGAGUCUUUAAGGAUUUGAGAACACUUGAUGUAUGUCUUGCAUGGGAUACCCGUGGUGACAAUGGGGUAUUCUAUUGAUCCACUUGAUGUAUGUUUUCGUGAUCAACUAGCGGGUUCCGUGACCUUGGGAAUCUAUGCAUAGGGGUUGGCACAUGUUUUCGUCUUGACUCUCCGAUAGAAACUUUGGGGCACUCUUUGAAGUACUUUUGUGUUGAAUGAAUAGAUGAAUCUGAGAUUGUGUGAUACAUAUCGUAUAAUUAAUCAUACCCACGGAUACUUGAGGCGACAUUGGAGUAUCUAGGUGACAUUAGGGUUUUGGUUGAUUUGUGUCUUAAGGUGUUAUUCUAGUACGAACUCUAGGAUAGAUUGAACGGAAAGAAUAGCUUCAUCUUAUUUUACUAUGGACUCUUCAAUAGAUCGAUCAGAAAGGAUAACUUUGAGGUGGUUUCGUACCCUACCAUAAUCUCUUCGUCUGUUCUCCGCUACUAGUGACUUUGGAGUGACUCUUUGUUGCAUGUUGAGGGAUAGUUAUAUGAUCCAAUUAUGUUAUUAUUGUUGAGAGAACUUGCACUAGUGAAAUUAUGAACCCUAGGCCUUGUUUGAACGCAUUGCAAUACCGUUUACGCUCACUUUUAUCAUUAGUUACCUUGCUGUUUUUAUAUUUUCAGAUUACAAAAACCUAUAUCUACCAUCCAUAUUGCACUUGUAUCACCAUCUGUUCGCCGAACUAGUGCACCUAUACAAUUUACCAUUGUAUUGGGUGUGUUGGGGACACAAGAGACUCUUUAUUAUUUGGUUGCAGGGUUGCUUGAGAGAGACCAUCUUCAUCCUACGCCUCCCAUGGAUUGAUAAACCUUAGGUCAUCCACUUGAGGGAAAUUUGCUACUGUCCUACAAACCUCUGCACUUGGAGGCCCAACAACGUCUACAAGAAGAAGGUUCUGUAGUAGACAUCACCUGCAAGCUUAAAUAAUCCACAAAAUUCAUCGACAUAGAUUAAGUGUAAGUCGGGAUGCAAUGUUCCACCUCCUGCAAAAGGAUUAGCUAGUAGUUUCUCUAUCAUACACGAAGGAGUUUCGAAGUAAACAUUUUCAUUUUCAGUAGGUCCAGUAUGUUGAGGAGCAACUAUUUGUUCUACCGGUCAGGGUGAAGAUACCUCGAACAAGCCCCUCAAAGGAUUACUUUCCAGAGUAACAAGUGACAGUAAAUUUCAGCACACUACAUAAAUUUUUCCUUACCAAAUUCCACCUACCAAAGGCGCUUCACUCCCCAGCAACGGCGCCAGAAAAGAGUCUUAAUGACUCACAAGUAUAGGGGAUCUAUCGUAGUCCUUUCGAUAAGUAAGAGUGUCGAACCCAAGGAGGAGCACAAGGAAAUGAUAUGCGGUUUUCAGCAAGGUAUUCUCUGCAAGCACUGAAAUUAUCGGUAACAGAUGGUUUUGUGAUAAGGUAAUUGGUAACGAGUAGCAAGUAAUAAAAGUAAAUAAGGUGCAGCAAUAUGACCCUAUCCUUUUUGUAGCAAAGGACAAGCCUGGACAAACUCUUAUAUGAAGGAAAGCGCUCCCCAGGACACAUGGGAAUUAUCGUCAAGCUAGUUUUCAUCACGUUUAUAUGAUUCGCGUUCGGUACUUUGAUAAUUUGAUAUGUGGGUGGACCGGUGCUUGGGUACUGUCCUUACUUGGACAAGCAUCCCACUUAUGAUUAACCCCCAUUGCAAGCAUCCUCAACUACAACCAAAGUAUUAAGGUAAACCUCACCAUAGCAUGAAACAUAUGGAUCCAAAUUAGCCCCUUACAAAGCAACGCAUAAACUAGGGUUUAAGCUUCUGUCACUCUAGCAACCCAUCAUCUACUUAUUACUUCCCAAUGCCUCCCUCUAGGCCCAAACAAUGCUGAAGUGUCAUGUAGUCGACGUUCACAUGACACCACUAAAGGGAUAACAACAUACGUCUCAUCAAAAAUAUCGAACGAAUACCAAAUUCACAUGACUACUAAUAGCAAGACUUCUCCCAUGUCCUCAGGAACAAACGUAAGUACUCACAAAGCAUAUUCAUGUUCAUAAUCAGAGGGGUAUUAAUAUGCAUAAUGGAUCUAAACAUAUAAUCUUCCACCAAGUAAACCAACUAGCAUCAACUACAAGGAGUAAUCAACACUACUAGCAACCCACAGGUACCAAUCUGAGGUUUGGAUACAAAGAUUGGAUACAAGAGAUGAACUAGGGUUUGAGAUGAGAUGGUGCUGGUGAAGAUGUUGAUGGAUAUUGACCCCCUCCCGAUGAGAGGAUUGUUGGUGAUGACGAUGGUGAUGAUUUCCCCCUCCCGGAGGGAAGUUUCCCCGGCAGAACAGCUCCGCCAGAGCCCUAGAUUGGUUUCGUCAAGGUUCCGCCUCGUGGCGGCGGAGUCUCGUCCCGAAAGCUUGCUUAUUAUUAUUUCUCGGAUGAAAGACCUCAUAUAGCAGAAGAUGGGCAUCGGAGGGCCAUCAGGGGGCCCAUGAGGCAGGGGCUCGCCUAGGGGGUAGGGCGCGCCUCCCACCCUCGUGGCUAGUGGGUGGCCCCCCUCUGGUACUUCUUGCGCUCAAUAUUUUUUAUAUAUUCUGGAAAUAACUUCCGUGAAGUUUUAGGACUUUUGGAGCUGUGCAGAAUAUGUCUCUAAUAUUUUCUCCUUUUCCAGCCCAGAAUCCUAGCUGCCGGCAUUCUCCCUCUUCAUGUAAACCUUGUAAAAUAAGAGAGAAUAGGCAUACGUAUUGUGACAUAAUGUGUAUUAACAGCCCAUAAUGCAAUAAAUAUCAAUAUAAAAGCAUGACGCAAAAUAGACGUAUCAAAAAUAAGGAUGGGAAGAGGGGACUUUCUAAUCUGUGAUAGAGAAGAAAAAGGAAAGAGUGGAUAAGUAAAUAAGGAAGCAAAUGGAAUGAAUCCAAAGAAGGAAGGAAAGAAGGAUUUUGGUCUUCAAGAAGAAAAUAGAUUAAAUCUUGCUGCAAGCGAGCGAUCCGUCUGCAACUCGGAGUAGACCAAAUAUCGAUGGAAGAGAAACGCCGCCCACUUUCAAGCUGGUAAAAUUUAGCUUUCUCUGAAAUAUGAAAACUUUGUGUUGAUGCUCUUCUUUACUAAAAAGUUCGCAUUACUCUUGUAAUGCCUAUUAGUAAGCUUGUGAAUUUCUUAGAGUGUCCACUAAAUAUAAAAACAAAGGAACGGUGCAGCCUCGCCUAUGGUCGAGAGGGGGACAGGACGUGAUGUGCAUAGGUGAGUCGGAAGCAUCCAUGCACAGGGGGGCAAGAUGCCGGGUUGCAUGCAUGCCUGCUCGGUCGGACGUCCUCGUGAAAGUUUUUGGUUAGAAGCCAUAAUGAGCUUUUAGUUCUUACAAAAACAUCUCUGAUUUUAAUAUUUUUCCUCUGAAAAAACAACUCGUCUAGGACUUGGAGCAGAGCGAGCGAUCCAUCUGCAACUCGGAGUAGACCAAAUAUCGAUGGAAGCGAAACGCCGCCCACUUUCAAGCUGGUGAAAUUUAGCUUUCUUUGAAAUAUGAAAACUUUGUGUUGAUGCUCUUCUUUACUAAAAAGUUUGCAUUACUCUUGUAAUGCCUAUUAGUAAGCUUGUGAAUUUCUUAGAGUGUCCACUAAUAUAAAAACAAGACAUAUUCGAUAUAUCUCAACUAUCCAGGUGCCUAAACAGUUAUUAAUGAUGUAUGAAGCACGUACUAUGUUUGACCGAUGAUGUCAAGUUGCAUGGCAUAAAAUCUAUUUAGGUCGUUGUAUCAUUAAUGACAAUAAAUAAUGUUAUAUCUUUUUAUUAUACUUUUAUAAAUUUCAGUAUGCACUAAUAAUUUGAAUUUGUGUUAUUCACCCAGAUCAAUUGACUCGGGUAUCAUGUUUCAUGUUCUAAACUACCGUCUUGAAUAACCCUACUACCAAUCGGUCCAUUGUUACUGUCAUCAGCAACAUGUGGCCCGCGAUCCAGUUUAUCGACCUUGCCACCCCUGAUUCAUAUCAUAGUAAAGCACAUGGCUCUGAGUCUGAUUCCCGUAAGUCUCCCAUUACAACGCACGGGCAUAUGUGUUAGUAUUAAUUAUAGUGAUAGGACUUGUCAUUAGUUUUUCUUAUUUGUGCAAUUACCGAUUUAUAUUUUCUUUUAAAUCUUCUUACUUAUAUCCUCUUUAACUACUAUCAUCAUAGCUUGUUUUUUCGUGUAUAUGUUUUGCUACUACAAAUUGUUUAGCGCACUACUAGGGAAAAUCUUAUACACAGAAUCUUAGCAAUAGCGUGGGUCAAAAAAAGUGCUACUACUAUUUACCACUAGCGACGGGCAAACAAACGCACUGCAGCUAAGUAUAUAGCAGUAGCGCUUCUCGGGAAAGAAGCGCUACUACUACAAUUCCCAUAAUGAUCUAGCAAGGCUACGAAUAGUAGUGGCGUGCUUAUGCAAAGCGAGCUGCUGCUAAGAUGGUUGUAGCAGCGUGCUUUACGCGAAAAGCGCUACUGCUAAUGAAAAUAAAAUAAAAUGAAAAAUAUAUAGAUAAGUAAAUGAAAAUGAAAGAAAUAGAAAAAGGGAAAGGAAAAAAAGAAAAUGCAAAGAAAAAUAAAUGAAAAAUAAAAAUAAAAGAGAAAGGCGUAGCAGCAGUGUGCUUUCAGGACAAGCGCUAUAGCUAACUUAGCAGUAGCGCGUUAUUCUAUCCCGCGCUAUAGCUAAGUUAGCUAUAGUUAAUAUAGCAGUAGCGCUUUUUCGGGCCCACGCUACUGCUAUUUUUGACUUAACCACGCGGUUCUUCUACCUCACGGACACUUCCCCCAAAUCCCCCCUUGAUCUGCUGUUGCCGCCGUCGUCGUCUUACAUCACCGUCGGUCACCGCGCGCUCUCUCGUCGCCCUCCGCACGCCCUCUGCUACCCUCGGUGGCCGCCGUUGUCGUCGCCCUACAUCGCCGCACUCCGCCGCGCGCCCGAGCCCUGACCCUGACCCCGACCAUGAUCCCGCGUGCUCCUCCCUCGGCCGCUCCCUAACUCUGCUAGCGCCCGAGGUGAGCACGCUUACACCUCCUCCUCCUCCUCCCGUACCUCUGCCUAGUUAGGGUUCCUAGGGUUCAUCAAAUUUUAGGGUUCAUCUUGAUAUGUCUCCAACGUAUCUAUAAUUUUUGAUUGCUCCAUGCUAUAUUAUCUACUGUUUUGGACAUUAUUAGGCUUUAUUAUACACUUUUAUAUUAUUUUUGUGACUAACCUAUUAACCGGAGGCCCAGCCCAGAAUUGCUGUUUUUUGCCUAUUUUAGGGUUUCGAAGUAAAGGAAUAUCAAACAGAGUCCAAACGGAAUAAAACCUUCGGGAACGUGAUUUUUGGAACGAACAAGAUCCAGGAGACUUGGACCCUACGUCAAGCAACCAACAGGGAGGCCACGAGGUAGGGGGCGCGCCUACCCCCCUCCAGGCGCGCCCUCCACCCUCGUGGGGCCCCUGUUGCUCCACCGACGUACUUCUUCCUCCUAUAUAUACCUACGUACCCCCAAACGAUCAGAUACGGAGCCAAAACCCUAAUUCCACUGCCGUAACUUUCUGUAUCCACGAGAUCCUAUCUUGGGGCCUAUUCCGGAGCUUCGCCGGAGGGGGCAUCGAUCAUGGAGGGCUUCUACAUCAACACCAUAGCCUCUCCGAUGAAGUGUGAGUAGUUUACCUCAGACCUACGGGUCCAUAGUUAUCAGCUAGAUGGCUUCUUCUCUCUUUUUGGGUCUCAAUACAAAGUUCUCCCCCUCUAGUGGCAAUCUAUUCGAUGUAAUCUUCUUUUGCGGUGUGUUUGUUCAAACCGAUGAAUUGUGGGUUUAUGAUCAAGUUUAUCUAUGAACUAUAAUUGAAUCUUCUCUAAAUUCUUUUAUGUAUGAUUGGUUAUCUUCGCAAGUCUCUUCGAAUUAUCAGUUUGGUUUGGCCUACUAGAUUGAUCUUUCUUGCAAUGGGAGAAGUGCUUAGCUUUGGGUUCAAUCUUGCGGUGUCCUUUCCCAGUGACAGUAGGGGCAGUAAGGCAUGUAUUGUAUUGUUGCCAUCAAGGAUAACAAGAUGGGGUUUUUAUCAUAUUGCAUGAAUUUAUCCCUCUACAUCAUGUCAUCUUUCUUAAGGCGUUACUCUGUUCUUAUGAACUUAAUACUCUAGAUGCAUGCUGGAUAGCGGUUGAUGUGUGGAGUAAUAGUAGUAGAUGCAGGCAGGAGUCGGUCUACUUGUCUUGGACGUGAUGCCUAUAUACAUGAUCAUACCUAGAUAUUCUCAUAACUAUGCUCGAUUCUGUCAAUUGCUCAACAGUAAUUUGUUCACCCACCGUAAAAUACCUAUGCUCUUGAGAGAAGCCACUAGUGAAACCUAUGGCCCCUGGGUCUAUCUUCAUCAUUUUAAAUCUUCCAAUACUUAGUUAUUUUCAUUGCCUUUUUAUUUUACUUUGCAUCUUUAUCAUAAAAAUACCAAAAAUAUUAUCUUAUCAUAUCCAUCAGAUCUCACUCUCGUAAGUGAACAUGUAGGGAUUGACUACCCCUUAUCGCGUUGGUUGCAAGGAUUUGUUGUGCAGGUGUGAGGGACUCGCGCGUAGCCUCCUACUGGAUUGAUACCUUGGUUCUCAAAAACUGAGGGAAAUACUUAUGCUACUUUGUUGCAUCACCCUUUCCUCUUCAAGGGAAAACCAACGCAGUACUCAAGAGGUAGCACAUGUCAUUAGUUAGGGUUCAUCAAAUUAGCUACUAUUUGUAGAUGCUUAAGUAGUUAUAUAGGACAUUAGUUUUACAUGCUUAAUUAGUUUUUAGGGAGUAGUUGUAGAUGCUUAAUUAGUUUUUAGGACAAAUUCCUAGGGUUCAUCAAUGGGUGCUUAAGUAGUUGUAGAUUCUUAAGUACCUAUCUAUUGUUCAUCUAAUUACUUAGUACUUGUAGAUGCUUAAGAACUAGGGCAGCAAGGCUAGAGUAGUAGGGUUUAACUAGGUGUCAAUUAGGGCAGUAGCGUUUAGUUUAGAGGGAAAAUCAAUAUAGUUUUUUUACUAUUUUUUAGUAAGUGUUUAAUAGAAUUAGUAAGAAAAUUAAUAGAACUAGUUGAACUAGUUUAUUUUUUGUAAGAACUACUUGAAUUAGUAGAACUAGUUUAUUUUUAGUAAGAAAAUUAAUAUAACUAGUUGAACUAGUUUUAUUUUUAGUAAGAACUAGUUUAUUUUUAUUUAUAGUAAGUGUUUAGUUGAAUUAAUAGAACUAGUUUAUUUUUAGUAAGAAAUUUAGGUAUAUGAGAUUUGAUGAUCUAAUUAAAAUUUUACUAUAGAACUAGUUUAUUUUUAGUAAGAAAAUUAAUAGAACUAGUUUAUUUUUAGGUGUAUUUAACAGUAUUCUAGGUUGAUUCAUUUUGAAGUGGACAUGUCAUAUUUUGAACAUGUUACAUUGUUGUUAUUUUAAGUUAAAGCAAUUAUUCUCGCACCGAUGUCGAUGAUGCCUAUCCCGCAUCCUUGUCGUCGACUCGGCGGAGGACACCUGCUUGAUCAAAGGGGCCAUGUCUGGGACUUGGAUCCGCCGGCUGGUACUGGGAGGUGCUACCUUCCGGGAGGCGCAGCUUGGUGAGGAGUCAGCCCGUCAUUGACCCGAACCUUCUUUGGUGGCGGUCGCGUGGGCUAGUUACGGUGCGGAGGCUUUUGUCCCCGCGGAGGUGGUACGUCACCGUGUCAGCGAGGAGGACGAGCACGUCCGUCGCUACAUGGUUGCGUUGGAGGGCAGGUUCUCCAAUACCUGGCAGGUUCUUCAAGGAUCUCACUAGAGCUAUGAUCCUGUGAUGGUUCCUUCUCUUUGGGUAUCCACCACCCGCGCUGAUACCCGUCGUUCGCUAGGGUUUUAGCUAUAUUAGUGAUAUUAUAUGUAUGAUACUAUUCGAGAUGUAUUAGUGAUAAUAUUCGACGAUGUACGGACGCGAGAGAUGAUUUAGUUUUGCUUAUUGAAUGCAUGUUAAUUUGAAUACUUAUUUAUUUUAUGAUUUGGUUUUGCUUAUUGAAUGCUCAAAUUGGAGAAGUACUCCUAUUUUGAAUGCUCAAAUUGGAGCCCACUAUGCAAGGCGUAUGCAUUUGAUUAGUUGAUGCUUAUAGGGUUUUUGUUUUUUGCAUAAAUCAAGGAGCCCCUCCAUCAUCCCGGCAAAUUUCAGGCGCCUGAUAUGUCCUUUUUUAGCGAACGUCAUGCCGGAUUUUUCCGUGAAUUUUGGCAUGACUUGUGCUAGAAUAUGUAGGAAAUAUCAAAUGGCCUAGAUUUUCUAAAAAGAUAAUUAAACGACAUUUCGGGUUGACUUUUAAGUCUGUCGAGGCUCCAUACAUCACAAUCAACAAAUGAGUGAGGGAGAAAGUCUGCACCAAAUAUGAGAGAAGAAGAAUCCCGACUGUUGUCGUGGGGGUCGUUUUUCCUUCUUCUCCUUGUGCUAGACCGUUGUUAUGCACUAGGGGAAGGAGGAAUAACGACCAUCACCGACGAUCGAAAAAUCAGUGAGGGAGUGUGUCCACCAUAUAUGAGAGAGGACGAAGAAUUCUGACUGUUGUCGCGGGGGUCGUUUCUUCUUCUUCUCCUUGUGCUAGACCUUUGUUAUGCACUAGGGGAAGGAGGAGUGACGACCAUCACCGACGGUCGCAAAUGUUAGAGAGGAAUCAGUGAGGGGGAGUCUCCACCAUAUAUGAGAGGACGAAGAAUCCCGACUGUUGUUGUGGGGGUCGCUUCUCCAUCGUUCCCGUGUGCUAGACAUUUUGGUGUAAUGCACUCGGGGACGAAGGGAGGAGCGACCAUCACCGACGGUCGAAUAUAUACACCACGUGAGUUCAGAGUUUUGAAGAAAAGACUCGGCAGACUGAUAGUCAAUCUGUGAUGAAUAAUAAUGAUCUAAUUUAGUUUUUGUGAUACAUAUAUUUAAUUGUACAAGUUUAAUCUUUGAGUUAUGAACAUAGGAAAUAUCGUCAUCGGACGACGAAAGUCUCCCGGGGGAGUGCGACUAGUGCAACGAUGAUCGAGGUCUGUGCGACAUGCCUCACCUGGACGAAGAUCGACGCUUCAACAUUAAGCUUCAGGAGACCUUCGAUGUUGAAACGGUACGCAAUGAUGACAAGUGGUUUUUUUCAUAAUUAAAUACGACUUUAACUAUUUUAACGUGUAAUUUUCAUCUUUUAUAAUUCGACUAGCUUAUCCCAUGCCAUGCAAGAUGCUAUGUCUUGGAGAGGAUGGAUUUUGAAGAUCAUGAAAGUAUGGAAACAAAGAAAAUUCACCUAAGGACUCAUCAUGGUAUGGUUUUGAAGUAAAUUUGUACAAUUCUGAGAGCGUAACCAAUUUUGGUUGCACGAAUUGGGAAGCACUUUGCAAGACGUAUGGUUUUUAUGAGGGUAUGCUUGUCACCGUGGAUCUUGGUGAUCCUGACAUCGCCCAAGGCAAUAUGGACAUUGGGUCCUUGUUGAUACGCUUCCAAUUCUACCGCUAUGUGAGUUUCUCAAACAUAGUUAUUAACUAAUCCCCCCUAGGGGCGUCAUUCUUGGAGGUACACACGUGAUCGAGGGACCAGAGGACGGAUUCUUUGGUAGAGGGAUGCGUCAUCUCACUCAUUGAUGGCAGCGGGUCUCGGAGGCAUGGCGCUGUGGUGACUCGUCAUCCGAUGCACCGAGAUGGACUCGCGCAAGUGGGUAAGGCGGUCUGGCAUCGUGGUGGCGUCGACGGCAGCUAGACCAGGAAAGGUAGAUGCAGCAGUACAACUCUGAAGAUGGAUUGAUGGUAGGUGGCUGCAGUGGCCUCAUACCCGGCAGGCGUCCUGGAUGGAACCUCAGGUCUUAGAUAUAAGGUUUGGCUGCGAGGUCUGUUUGGUAUUAGGCCCAGACUAUUAGCAUCCCUUCAUCAAUUGGAUAGGAGUAGCGACCAAUAUUGCAUAGACGGUGGCUUUAGUCUUACUGUUGUAUUACUAUGUAAGGUAUUGUGUGAACAAUUAAUAAAGCAGCUGCAUGCAUCGUCUAGAUGUAGAGGCCGGUGGUCUUCCUCCUUUUCUAAAAUAAAAAAAUUAUUAACUAAUUUAUAUUGUUUAUUUCAAAAUAGUUGACAGCUUAUUCCAUUGACAACUUAUUUUCAUUCUUUAAAGAAUGUGCGGAAGAUGGUAGACAUAGCCUACUACAUCGAUGGUUCAGAAUUAACUUAUCAGGAGAAAAAUCAUCUGAUCUCAUUUAUUACUAAUCUUGAGAAUUGCAAUAUCUAUUAUUAAACUCCUCCACAUUAUGGUCAAUACGUGUCACUAGUGCACGUGUUGAACUACGGUAACAUCCAUGGAGAUGCCAUGGUAAGAUUAUAACAUCAUUUUAUUUGGAGUUAGUGGUAAAAAACAUUAUUUUUCUAGCUUUGUACAAACAUUGCUCGCACACAUACUCAUCGCAAAAGAUCUUCCUAUUCUUCUUACCAACUUCAUGCAUGUCUUGUGUGCGGUUUAUAUAUGCUCUUGGAUUCUUUAUACUCUAGCACUUCUCUGUUAAUCUUGUCUCUGUCUUUGUUUACUUCUUACAGAUAUGAUUGCUGAAAUAAAAAACUUGAAGCUGUGAGUUAAAAUGGUAACCAGAAAUUUGUGACAUGUUACGUGUUUGUUGUUUUAAUGUAGUACUCUCUUCAUCAGGAAAUACUUGUCAUCAAAAUGAAUAAAAAAUGAUGUAUCUAAACGUGAUGAAAAGUAUUUGCAAACGGAGGAAGUAGAAUAUUUCAGAGUUUUUGAAAAAAUUAUCAUAGAUUUUCGGUGUGCGGCGAUGCACCAGUUGCAUAGGAUACGCACUCGCCUCAAAGGUUGUUGGCCACUCAUCAGUUUGGAUGGAAUCCAGCUGUAAUCUGUACUCCUGUAGGUCCUCGGCCUGCCUGACGAGCAGCAUGUGACCUUGAUGACCAUUCAUCGGCAAGGAAAUCCAGCCCGUGAAAUGGCCGCCCAGUCCACAUCCACCAGUUUCUACAUGUAAAUGGAAUGAAAUUAAUGGACUUGAAUGGCUACAGGGAAUGGGCCAGUACCGAGAUCGGGGGAGAUGACAACUGAGUCGGUGGGCAGCAAUUGAAUGCGGUGGGCACUGCGCUAGAUAAAAUAGAUGAUGCGGCAAACAAUAAAUGAAGAAAAAGAAACAUGUGGUACUAACAUAUCUAGGUACUACUAACGUCACACAUAUCAAGACAAUAUGAGUCUAUAAUUUAAUAAAUAAAGUGUUUCAUAUUACCGUAUAUAUGUUACUCUUCAGUAUAAAGGUAGUAAUCGUGAAAUGACUACUCCCCUACUGCUGUGUGCAGUAUGGUUGGCUGUAUAGGUGAGCAAUUAAAUUCAGAUGGAGACUACGUUUGUUAAUAAGCCCACAACUUGAACACCCACUAAUCUGCCGUCCGCCUAUAUAAACCCCACCAGGCGAGCACACUGUGCUUCUCACUGGUGCCCAUUCGUUUUGCUAGCUAGACAACACACAGUUCCACGUAGCAGCAGUAGGAUAGCUCGGUCCAGUACGUCGUCUCGGGUGAGCCAGAGCAGACCGAUGGCGCUCUCUCGUCGCAGGGCCCCUUCCGCCCUCCUCCUGCUGGUCCUCCUUGUGGCCACAGAUACGUCGCGCUGCCGAGCUCUACUGUAGGUUUGUUCCCUCGAUGAUGAUGCUCUGCUGACCGUGGUUUGGUUGAUGUGCAUGCAGAGAUGGGGGCGACGACGACCAAGGUGGCGGAGGCGCGGGACUGCGUGUCGCAGAGCCACAACUUCAAGGGCGCCUGCCUCAGCAGCAGCAACUGCGCCGCCGUCUGCCGCACCGAGAACUUCCCCCGGCGAGUGCCACACGCCGCACUUCGAGCGCAAGUGCUUCUGCGAGAGGCUCUGCUAGUCCGCCCGCUCGCCCCGUCCUGCCGAGACGUCCCAUGCAUGCUACUGUAGGUCAUCCGUGCCGUUAGCUCGUUCUGUUCCGUUCGCCAGUGCGUCCACGUUCGACCCUACUUGUUCGUGUGUCCCGCUAGGUAAAACUAAUAAAGUGGAAAAUCAAUCGGGGUCUCGAGUUUAGUUGGCUGUACGUGGUGUUGGUUGGCACCUGAUUUGUGUGUGGUGAACUGGUGAUGUAAUAAAUAUGGUCGUUGUUUCAGCAUGGAUGGACGUGUGCAAUCUCUCUCUCUCUCUCUC